Molecule: long non-coding RNA, 55772 nt
Filed under: Ananas comosus (pineapple)
Lineage: Eukaryota; Viridiplantae; Streptophyta; Magnoliopsida; Poales; Bromeliaceae
Description: long non-coding RNA (ACOM_LNC019577)
Source: RNAcentral
UAACGGUGUAGAAAUAUUUAAAUCAGAUGAAAUUUUGAUUACAAAUUCUUUAUACUAUCUGCAACAGAAUCAAUAUUUAAUAAACGAAAUUUUAUAGUACUAUAUCACCACUUUUUAUAGAAUUUUUAUUUUCAGUCGUUAAAAAUUAUUUGAUUUGAUCCUUUCGAUUGCUGGUAAAUGAUACUGAAAAAUCGCAAAAAUUAUUUUCUUAGAAACGUUAAAUACGCUAGAUCAAGUCUAGCGGAGACGAUCGUCGAUUCGAAGCUCCAUCAUCGAAACAGCUCAGGAGCACGGAGGCCUCGUGCUCUUGAGAGCACAACAGUCCUGCUCUCUCUCUCUCUCUCUAUAUAUAUAUAUAGAGUUGAGCUAGAAUACUCUCAGAAGCACAGGAGGUGGUGCUUUGAGUUUUUAACCAUUGGAUGGAGAUUUGUAGGGUUGAGAUGAUGGGCGGUGGUGGUGGUAGGUGAAAUAGUAUUUGAACCAAGGGUGGGGUAUUAGUAAUUAAGGAGUAGAUUCAAGUCUAAAAACUUAGAAGCACCAAGGAUUGGUGCUUCUAAAGUAUUCUACGUCAAUUUUAUAUAUAUAGAAUUGAGCUGAAAUAUGAUCUAUACACUUGAAGUUUAGAAAUCAAUUUCAUAUAUUUUCGAUAUUAUUCUCUAUCCAUCGAAUGGACACAAAAAUGAAUAGCUGAAAAUGAAUAUUCUUUAAAAAUUGAUGAUAGGAGUCUUGUAGUCAAGAUCAAGAGUAUAGAUCUUGUUUUAAAUAGUUUAAAAAAUUUUCUAAUAAAAAUUCAAUUGAUUUGGAUAUCUUUCACCGUUAAACGAGAAAACGCUCAUAUCGACCAUUAAAAUUACAAAAUUUGAAACCUUUGAUCAUAAGGCAAAUGAUGUCGAAAAGAUUUGAAAUUUGAUUCCUAGUAUUUCAAAUGGUAUAGAUCAUGUUCAACGGUGCCGAUGUCAAUUUGAAGCUCAUCAUCGAACAAAUGGAUAUAUAUAUUAUAUAUAUAUAUAUAUAUAUAUUAUAUAAUAUAUAUGCUGAUACUAUCAGUAAAUUGGAGGCCUCCGUGUUACCAAGUUGGUUUUAAUAAUGCGCUUCUAAACCGACGAUCGGCUCCGUUAGAUUUGAUCUACACUAUUGAAAGUAUUUGGAAACUAAAUGUCAUAAUUUUCGGUAUAAUUGAAACAAAUUUGAUAGCACAGAGCCGUCCGUGCUACCGAUAGUAUACCAGUCUAGCUGUAUUAUAUUCUAUCGAUAGCAUGAACGCUUGUUGUUGUCGAGUUUUCCGCCGUUAGAUUUAACCCUUUGGCUAUUUUCACACGUUAGGUUAUAGUAUUCAACCAUUAACUCACUUAACCCUAGAGAUCCAUAUCAUCCUAACAUACAUUUUAUAUCUAAGGGCCAAACCUAAUGGCACAAAUACCUUGGUGUUAUUGAUAAUACUCCAACCUAGUUAUAUAUAUUAUAUAUAAUAUAUAUAUAUAUAUAUAUUAUAUAAUAUAUAUAUAUAUAUAUAUAUAUAUAGUUAGGCUGCUCUAUCUAUCGGUAGCACGGGACUCCGUGCUACUAAGUUGUUUUGAUGAUACGCUUCUGAAUCGAUGAUCGGCUCGUUAGACUUGAUAUACACUAUUAAAAGUAUUUGAAAAUUAAAUUUCAUAAUUUUCGACAUCAUUUGUUGCUAUGAUCAAAAGGUCUCAAAAUUAACAAUUUUAAUGGCCGAUGUGAUACGUUUGUGAAUUUAACGGUGUAAAAUAAUCCAAAUCAGAUGAAAUUUUUAUAGAAAAUUCUUUUUACUAUUUAGAGUAAGAUCAGUACUCUGAUCUUAAAUUCAAGUCUUCUAUCAUCAUUUUUUAUGAGAUUUUUAUUUUCAGCGUUCAUUUUAGACUAUUUGUUUGAUAUGUAAAUGAUAUGAAAAUUAUGAAAUUUACUUUCCAAAUGCUUGUAGAUAUAGUGAGAUCAAGUCUAACGGCAGCGAUCGUCGAUUUGAAACCGCAUCAUUGAAAACACUUGGUAGCACGGAGGCCUCCGUGCUACCGAUAGUAUACCAGCUAUAUUAAUAUAUAUAUAUAAUAUAUAUAAUAUAUUAGUCUGGCUACUAUACUAUCAUGAGUACGAUCACUCUCGUACUCAUAAGUUUGUUUCAAUGAUAGAGUUCCCGAAUCAUAUAAUCCACACCGUUAAGCGUUAUCUAAGCAUUUAAACGUUUAGAAAUCAAAUUUAUAAUUUUUCGACCAUUUACCUUACGAUCAAAAAGCUCACAAAAUUGACAAUUUUUAACGGCUGGUAUGGAAUACUUGCUAGUUUAACGGUGCAAAAGUAUCCGAAUAUAUUGAAUCUUUGCUAGAAAAUUUUAUUCACUAUCUAGAUAAAGAUCAAUAACUCCGAUCUUAAAUUGAAGGAUCCAAUCAUCCAUUUUUAAGACAUCGUUCGAUUUUGACCGUUCAUUUUAUACCCGCUUGAUGGGCUUUAUUAUGAUUUCAAAAAAUUACGAAAUUAAUUUUCUAGCAGUUUCAAAUACUCAUAAUAGUAUAGUAGCCCUACUCUCUCUCUCUCUCUCUCUCUCUCUAUAUAUAUAUAUAUAUAUAUUAUUGAGCUAGAAUAUUUUUAGAAGCACCAAAGGGGUGCUUCUAAGUUUCUAGCCAUUGGAUCUACUCCUUGAAUACUAGCUAAUACCCCAUGGAUCAAAUACUAUUCCACCUACCACCAUCUACCACCAUCGUCUCAACCCUAUAUCUCUCCAUCCAAUGGUUAAAAACUCAAAAGCACCACCCCUUAGUGCUUUUGAAAGUAUUCUAGCUCAACUAUAUAUAUAUAUAUAUAUAUGACAUUCCUUAGAUUUUGAAAUUAUUUUAUAUAUAAGAUAUAAUAAGGUUAAACAUCUUAAUCCGAUUAUAGAAUUUUAGGCGAUAACUAGGUCCAAAAGACUAAUAGAGGUAAGCGUGUUACGACUAAUAGUUAGGUCCAAAAGACUAAUAGAGUUAAGCGUGUUACGACUAAACUAGCUCUAGAACAGAUGACAUUUCAGAAAAGCGAGGCGCCACUGUUGGUAUUAGAGUCAAUCAUUAAUCGAAAGUAUGAGAUGAGUUUCGAUUGAGUUAGAAUCAUACGGCAGGCAAAACGCAAUUCCCUGAGUGACAAUCGUGGGUGGAGGGCAAUUCUCUGACUAGCGAGACGAGUCCCACACCGUCUAAUACUUAUGAGUAUGCUUGAAUGUGACGAGGACAUCAGAACUUAAUGAAGAACAAAAUAUGACAUUCCUAAGAUUUGUAAUCGUCUUAUACACAACUUAUAAUAUGGUAAAACCUCUUAACCCAAUUAUAGCAGAAGCAUUUUGAGCAGUAAAUAGGCCGAAAGAUUAAGAGGAUUAAGCUUCUCAGAAUCAGAAUAAAUUUUUAUUGGAUGACCUCCUGAAUUAUGGGUCGUCACCGUACACAUAUCUAACAUUGCGUGCUGUAUACGAAAAGCACGCUGAGUUUGACAUAUGAGGUAUGAGAUACGCAAGAAUUUAAUUCAUUAGACCUACAACAUCAAUUAACGGCGAGAGAUUAGGAUUGGCUGUGACACGUGCUUUUCAUUUCCUCGCAAUGAGAUCAAAUGCCUCAACUAUGGUCCUAAUCUUUGCAUUUCAUCGUUAAUUACGCACUUGCCAUUAAAUCAUGCUGUUAAAUUGAAUGGAAAUGUCUACAUAUAUAAAGCAUCACAAUAGUUGUCUUGUAAUUGCAUUUGCACUUCUCAUUAGUGUAAAAACACAUUACUUUUUUUUAAAUUUUUUUUAUUACAUGUGCUUGGAAGUUACAUUGUGCUUACGUUGACAUUCAGAUUUUGUAAAUUAAGAACCUUUUUUUUUUUUCAAAACUUGAUUUUAGAAAAAUUUUAAUAUAAGAUAUCAAGUAUGAUGAGAGUGAAAGAAAAAUAAUAAAUGUAACGGAAAUGAAGUGCUAGAUUGGGAUGCUAUUAAUAACACUGAAUUUUUGUGCUUCGAAGUUAUUUUCGAUGAUGGAGCAUUCAAUUUGACGACUGGCACCACUGAAAGUGAUUUACGCAUAUAAAAUUUUUAGAUACCAAAUUUUAUAGAUUUUUUUACUUCAUUUAUCUAGUGAUCAAACUAUAUCAAAAGUGACAAUUUUAAGGGCUUUUUUUGCAAAUAGCCCCCAAAUAAAAUUCUUUUUUAAAAUUGGCCCUGUCAAAAAUUUAUUUGCAAAAAUGGCCCUGCCCCUGCCACGCAAGCGCCACGUCAGCGCCACGCGGGCGGGGCAAGAGUUUAAGUUGAACACGGUGAACCAUUCACCGUGUUCAAACACGGUGGCUGAAUCACCGUGUUCAACUUAAACACCUGGCCCCAGCCCCGCCCGCGUGGCGCUAACGUGGCGCUUGCGUGGCAGGGGCAGGGUCAUUUUUGCAAAUAAAUUUUUAACAGGACCAAUUUUAAAAUAAAAUUUUGUCAGGGGGCUAUUUGCAAAAAAAGCCCCAAUUUUAAUGAUAUGUAAAACAUAAUUCCUCAGACUAUGGAGAACUUGCAAUUUGGUACUCACAUUUUAAUUUUAGUAACUUCUUACUAUAAUCUAAAUUAGUGGACUAUAUGUUGAUAUGUUUGUAAUAUGGAAGUGGGGUGAGGUGACUAUACAUGUCAUAAGUGAUGAUGCAUUAAUAAUUAAAAUAUCAUAUCACUUUUUUAUUUUAGUUAUUCAUCGAUAAUUAAUGAAUUAAAGUAGGAGGUAAAACUUGACUGCAACAAUUUUAAAACUUCGUAGGAGGUAAAACUUGACUGCAACAAUUUUAAAAGUUCGAAUAAGAAGUUGCUAUAAAUUAAAGUUCAAGAAAUAAAGCGUCACAUGUACCAUAGUUUUACGACCAAAAUUGUGAUUUAGCCUUUUUUUUUUUAGUUAAUUUCAUACAGGUUCUUACAAAUAUAAUGAAUUACAAAUAUAUUCCUAUAAAGUUCAACUUUCAUAUGUUGUCCCUAUUAAAAUCUUGAUGUUUUCUAAUAUGUCCUUGCCGUUACGAUCCAUUAGAAAAAAUUAGCUAAUUAUAGGUAAAAUAUUUAAUUCUAGUUAGUUAAUGAGGUGAAUUGACCUUUUUAACCCUUUUUAAUUAAUAGUUGGGAUUUUUGGAGGGACAUAUUUGUAAUGAUAAAAAGGUCAUUUCACUUAUAUAAUAAACAGUGUUUUAACGGUAACAAAAUAGAGAGACAUAUUUAAAAAUAUUAGGACUUUUAUAAGGACAACAUAUGAAAGCUGAACUUUGCAUGAAUAUAUUUAUAAUUUAUUAUAUUUGUAGGGACAUGUAUGAAAUUAACCUUUUUUUUUUUAAGUCAAUGACUUUUCUACGGCACUUUGCUUUUAUUUGUAUGACUUGCUCAUAUGAAAGCUGCACUUUUUAGAAAUAUAUUUGUAAUUCACUAUAUUUAUAGGCUGCGUUUGGUUGGAGGGAUAUCCCAGAACAAGACGGCAUAUCCCUCUUUAUCCCCCCAAACACAAUGAAAAAUAAAACUUCGUAGUUGUUCCGGGCUUAACGGGUUGUUCCGGGAACAACCCGUUAAGCUUGUUCUCCCUUCCAUGGAGAACAAGGUGGAACUUCUCUUUUUUGUCUCUUUUUCUUUUUAUUAUGCCAUUUUAUUUAUUUUAUACUUUAUUUUAAUUAAUUUCAAAUAAAUUAAAUGAAUGCUCACAUUUAAUAAUAAAUAUAUUAAUAUAAAUAUUAUUUUUAUGAUAAUAUAUUUAUAUUUAAAUUUUAUUAUAUAAUAUAAAUUAAUGAAAUUUGAUAUAUUUUUUAUCUUAUUGAGUUUUAUCAUUUAUAUAUUAAUAUUUAAUUAUUUUAUUUUAUAUUAAGUAUUAUAUACAUAAAGUNACGGUAACAAAACAGAGAAAAAUAUUUAAAAAUAUUAGAACUUUUGUAAGAACAAUAUAUGAAAGCUGAACUUUGUAUGAAUAUAUUUAUAAUUUUUUAUAUUUGCAGGGACAUGUAUGAAAUUAACCUUUUUUUUAAUGACUUUUCUACGGCACUUUGCUUUUAUUUGUAUGACUUGCUUUGGCCUUUUGGUCAAUGUUUAAUUAAUUAACUUUAAAAUAAAAGGAGCAACAUAUGAAAGCUGCACUUUUUAGGAAUAUAUUUGUAAUUCACUAUAUUUACAGAAAUUUUUAUGGAAUUAAUAUUUUUUUUUAAUGACUUUUCUGCGGCACUUUGCUUUUAUUUUUAUGACUUGCUUUGGCCUUUGGUCAAUGUUUAAUUAAUUAACUUUAAAAUAAAAGAAGCAACUUCUUUUCAAUUAGAUAUGUUAUAAUAUCAUUGGCACGUUCUCCAUGGGAUUAAAUGCUAAUUAAUUAAAGUCUCCUUUAAGGAAGCAAUCCUAGGGUUGCAUAGAAUUGAUUUUUUUAUUUAAUUUUUUACUUUUUUUUAUUUAUUAUAUUUUACCUUAAAGAGCCUAGGUUGAUUGCGUUGGUCUUUAUAUUUAAUUUGUGGAAAAAUAAAGCAAGUCAUAAGUCCAAAAUAUGUCGUAUACAAUAGAACUGAUUCGACCGAAAAGUUUAAACAGUUUAAUAUAGAUUCGAUUACGCAAAGGCCCAGUCAAAAUAAUUACAAUAAGAAUAUGAUUCCUAGUGUUUAAUCUAUAAAAAUCGUAUUCCAAGAUGAAUAUAAUAGACAAAUAAAAAUAUGAAUAAUAUAUAAAAAUUUAAUUUGUUAAAUAUUGAAGGUCAGAACUAAACUCGCCCUCUCACAAAAUAGCCGACUAUAUUACCAAAACAUUAAGUCAAGGGUCUGCAUAGUUCAAUACUCUAUAUUUUCCACUAAAAAUAUUUUAAAUAUUUUUAAUUUGUUUCCUAUGUGUCUAAUUAAUUAAUAAACUUAAAAGAAAGAAAGGCAACUUUGUCACAAUUAGACAUGUUAUUAUAAUUGGGCUAAUUUUUUGGUAAAAAUGUAAAGAACUUAUCUGAAUUAUAAAUCAUUUUGAGUUAGCUAUCCAACUUUUUAAAAUUUCAGAUUUACUAUCCAGCCUUUCAAUUUACUUGAUUUAAAUCAGUCAACAGUGCUUGAACUUUAAAAUUUAAGCUAAUUACUUACUCUAAUAAAUUAUAUGUAGUUGUGAGAAUUGUAUUCACUAGACUAACUAAAUCUGUGAAGAUAGACGAUGCAUUCAAAUUUAGAAGUAAAAGUAUCGCCGGCUGACUUAAAUCAAAUAAAUUAAAAAAUUAGAUAGCUAAUUUAAAAUGGUCCAUAGCUCCAAUAUGUUUUAUAAGUUUUUAUCUAAUUUUUAAGAUUGGAUCGCUAACUCAAAAUGGUUGAGGGAUAAAGUAUGACAACGGUUCAAUUACUUAAGAUAUGACACAUAAAUUGGAACUUAUUGAACCGAACAGCUAAACAGCUAUAUAUAAAUGUGAUUACACAAUUAUAAAUAGCUAAACAGUGAAAUUCACCAACAAAGGAACAGCACAAAUAAUUCUGAGUUUAAGAAAAAAACAUUGUUUAUUUACAUUUCCAAACUCUGAGCUCGUAAAAUUUUGUCAAAUUUAAUCCGAAUGUUGAACUUGUGCUGUCUCACUGUAACGCCCCAAUAAUUCCACAUCGGAUGAAAAAAUAAUUCUGAUUAGAAUAUAUGAGGCCUAAUAAUAACUGGUCUUAAAUAUUUUAAGCCGAUGGUUUGGACCUAACGAGUUAUUAUUAUUAGCGGGUCGACUCGUUACAAUAGAUAUCAGAGUCGAAUACCACUGGAAAGUGUGAGAGCUAAGUGUUAUGCGGGACAAAUUGCUAUACUAACGAGUUUGGUAGGAGCUCUAACAUCGCUUGAUAAUUCUGACAUAUAUGUCUGUGGUCUGGAUUUGAACAGUCUAUGUAAUAACUAGAUUUAAAUAUUUUGGACCCAAAAUUGCCUGAUAAUUCUGACAUAUAUGUCUGUGGUCUGGAUUUGGACAGUCUAUAUAAUAACUGAAUUUAAGCAUUUUCGGCCCAAAUCACCUGAUAAUUCUGACAUAUAUGUCUGUGGACUGGAUUUGAACACUUCAUAUAAUAACUAGAUUUAAGUAUUUUGGCCCGGUGUUUUGGAUUCAACGAGUUAUUGCUGCUAACGGGUCGGAUCGUUACACUCACAAAAUGUCACGCCCCGAAUUACCACAUUUUUUCGGGUAUGCCAACAGACCCACUGUAUACAUAGGAAUUUUCCGUGUAUACGAAGCGAUAGCGGUACCUGUAAUCACAACAUAACUACAACCAGUAGUGUAGAGCUGCUAAACUGAAACCUGUAUAAAUAAAACAUAAAGGAGUUCUGGUACAUACAAAAGUCCACGACCCAACUCGCUCCAGCAAGUACAAUGACAACAUAACAGUAUGUACAAAGAAAGCCCCAAAACUAUCUCUGUAUGGUACUUCUCUAGCACUGCGACAAGACUGGUAGAGAUCUAGCUCGCGACGCCCUUCCCACGGUCCAAGUCAGCAACAACAGCAGCCGCAGACGAAGGCUCUGUUAAAAGGUGUUAACAACUGGGUGUGAGAACUACUAUAAAACAAAUAGUUCUCAGUAGGUACUGCCACCGACCUCAACGGCUCACCCACUAGGUCUACAGAAAAAUAUGCACAAGGAUAGUAAAGGAAGCUGGAAAAACUCUACAGCUACAUGCCACUAUACUAUCGCUAAAUACUACGAGUUAUCUGUAGAUAUAACAACAACAAUCUCUGACCCAAUCUUACUAGGGAUUGUGAUAUACCCAUUCCGCCUGUCGAAGCUACACCGUACACCACCCCGAGGGCUGCCGGUGGAGAGUAGAGUCCAAGAAGACAACUACAACAUCAACGCAAAGCAAAGUAGCCAGACUCUGGAGCGGCACUCUGUCGGAUCGUUGGCGCUAACCAUUAAUCCCAAAAGCUCAAGCUGUUAGAAAUACGCAACCAAUUCACUUAAAGCGUACAGAAACAUCGUCCACGGGUCUCGAUUGUGACUCGGCCCACCUGGCCUCACGCCACUUCGUAUAUGGCUCAGCCUAACCCAGCCUCACGCCAUUUCGAACAUGACUCAGCCUACAUGGCCUCCCGUCACAGGGCAGGAUGCUGGCCCAUUUAAGCGAACAAUCCCCCCUCCAACACCUGCACACAUUUGGAGCAUGCAGGAAUCGAACCCGUGACCUCUGGCUCUGAUACCACUUGUCGAAUCGUUGGUGCUAACCAUUAAUCCUAAAAUCUCGAGCUGUUAGAAAUACGCAACCAAUUCACUUAAAGCGUACAGAAACAGCGUCCACGGGUCUCGAUUGUGACUCGGCCCAUCUGGCCUCACGCCACUUCGAAUAUGCCUCGGCCCAACCCAGCCUCACACCAUUUCGAACAUGACUCGGCCCACAUGGCCUCUCGCCACAGGGCAGGAUACUGGCCCAUUUAAGCCAACACACUCGUGGGCGCGGCCCAACCAAGUAUACAAGCGUAUCUCUGCCGAGCUCAAUCAGGCUCUCACAGGCUGUAGUCAAUGCAAAUGGGUCUAACUGGUUUAACAACCAAAACUCACGUGCCCUUGGCACAAUCUGAUGCAAAUCUGGGUCUACUGUCAACCUCGACGCCACCCGACAGUACAAAAUAGUCUACACACUACUGUCAAACGACCUCGGCAUCUCAGCAUGAGUGUAAACUCAUUCUACACUAAUUUGGAUAUCCACCGCAUACUAAUAGUGGCAAUACAAAAGAACCACAGCUCCUAAAGCUAAAACUGGUAAUUUUUCAGAAAUGACAGUGUAGGGUUCAAUAUUUUUCUGCUAAGUCAAUUCCAAGUCAAACAUAUAAAACGAAACAAGAAUUUAAAGCUCCAACUCAGAUUUCAUAACAAACUAUGUAAAUCGGUGAAUUGAGCUACUAACAUGAUAUUACACAUGAAAUACACAUGCUGACAAAAUCUCGGCUUAGGAGUAAAUCCGACAAUUUCGGUAAAUUUCAACCCACCUCGAAAAGCUUGUCUAACCACGGCGAGAAGUCGAAAGGAGGGGAUCCACGCGCUCGCCCGGCCUCCAACGGCGCAACCGCUAUGCACACACGCUCGAACGACCCUCCGGAUCAAUAUCAAAAUCCACCCGAGCUCGAGCCGUGACCUCCACCACGAGCGAUGUCCAAAACUAGAGAAAGAGAGGGAGUAGCAACAAAACCUCCCCUCAGAGCUCUCUACAAGUAUAAAAGGGCUGAGGAUAAACAUUGGGGUGAACGUCGCUUCAAAAGACCAAACUACCCUUACCUACUCAAAAAUCCAGCUGGAGUACCAGUACUCCACUUGAAUACCGGUAGUCGGGCCUUAAGCCCGCAGCCUCGCACAGUGGGUACCGGUACCAGCCCGAUGCAGUACCGGUCCCCGGGCUCGAUACCGGUACUCGACAGGUCAGUACCGGUACUCAGCAUCAUCUCACGCAAACCCGAGAGCAUCCUAUUUUGUAAUCCCACUGGAGUACCGGUACCCUUCUCUGGUACCGGUACUCAAUACUGAAAUCCUGCACUUUGCGGAUUUCAGUGUCAGAACUCCACUCUCGCCUCGCGUUGAGUCCGUUUUGCGUUCAUUUCGCGCCAAAACGACUCCAACUUGUUCCUAUACUCUCACGACGUGUCGACAAGUCUCAGAUGCUGAAAUCUUAUACUAUAACAAAAACGGUCUAUAGCGACACUUUUAAAUGUCGGUACAGGUUAAAAAAAGUGCUGCUGGCUAAAUUACCGACACUUUUAAAAAAUGUUGCUAUAUGUGGAGUCGCUAGGUAUAUAGUGACAAUUAAAGAGUGUCGCUAUAACCUAAAAAGAGUGCUGCUAAUUUAGCAAUACUUAUUUAAGCAUCUAGCAACCGCCGGAACUUUACCUCGUUAGUUGCGGUGGCGGAGGAGGACGAAAGGGAAGGGGCCUUUCGUCUAGCAUUUCAGUGGAAUGAGUGAGAGGAGAAGGGGAGAUGAUUUUUUUUUAUUUUUUCUUUUCUAUUUGUAAUCGGGUCAAAUGGGCUGGGUUGGGUGGGUUGAGUAGAGUAACUUUUUAUUUUUUCUUGGAUUCGGCUUUAUAUUUAGACAUUAGUAGAUUUUUUUUUUUAAUUUUGGCAUAAAUAGGAUACUUAGACAAAAAUGUCCCAAACAUGUAUCGUUAUAACUUAAUUUUGUUGUAGUGUAAUUACGGGCAACCAAACACCAAGGACACAACACAAAAUUUGACUCCGUCAUCUUAUUACAACCAAUAAUUAGUUAAUUAAUAUGAGGAGAUUGUUGCCAAUUUGAAUUGACUCAUAGCCUUCUAUGUUAUUAAGUUCUAAUUUUUUAAGUUUUCUUCAUUUAUCACGGCAAUUCUUAGUGUAUAAAUAAGUCAAAUAUUCCCCUUCACAUGUCAAAUAUGAAUUUUAAGAAGACUCAUAACAACAACAACUAGUAUUAUUAUCAUUAAGCUCAAACCUUUAGCUCAAAAUAUUUAAUUGUCUUUUUUGUAUUGGCGUGCGGCCAUCUAAACUCAUUAGAUAAAGUGUACGUAGUUAGAGUAAAAAUACAUAUAGAUACGCUUCUCCAUUUUCAAAUAGCACUAUAAAAAAUAUAUUGUAACUGACUCACUGUGAUAUCGCAAUGUGAUAUUUCGUAAAAAACUAAAAAUGAGUAUUGUGUUUUGUUUUUGAGAGAGAAAAAUGACGUGUUAUCUACUUUAUUUAUUAUUUUUUUAAUAAAUAAACUUAGCUAGAAAUGUGAAGUUAUUUUACUUUGAAUUUAAAAUCUCGAAUAUUAAUCACAGUGUAAUACUUUAUUCGUUGUCCUUCUCCUCGUAACAGGAUAUUUUUUUAAUUGUACUUUCUCAUUAUAUAUAAUGUGUUGGAAAUAAUAGGGCAGCGGAAACUUACAAACUGGAUAGCCAACGUAUCCGGGAACCCGAAUCGAAUUGGAUUGCUUGUUUUACAAGCUUUUUUGGAUCGUCCUUGUCUCGAUGCUUCUGGAUCUCCCACGUUUCUCGCCUUCUCCCACGCCUACGCCUUACGUCACGGAUCGGGUGCGUCGAAUGCGGAUGGGAUGCAACGGAUGUCAAUCGAAGAGGUCUACCAGAGUCCUCUUCUAUGUCCACGCUCCAAAACCCCGAGAACGUACAUGGAAAUCACAGAGAGGAAGAAAGGAAAAAAUGAGGAAGAUAUUUUGUGGAUUAUCGAAUUAGAUCGUAUUCGAUCGUCUCUCUUUCGGGAGAGAAAAGGGGGCGUAUAUAUAGAAUAACGGAACCUCUAAAUAUCAUGAAUCUCAUAUAAAUUAGGAUGAGGAUUAGGAUAUCUAUUAACAUAUAAUAGAUAUCCACUAGUAGAUGCGUUUCUUAACUGAUAAGAAACAUAUGAUUCAUUCUUAUCCUAAACUUAUUAGGAUAAAUCAUGAUCCACGUCUUAUGUGGAUUGGGUUAUAUCAUAACCCGCCAAUGUGGACACACCAUAUGGCAACAAUCUCCCACUUAGCCACAUUGGCCAAUUUUCUCUGACUUAUUCAUCUCUUCAUACGGGUAAUGGGGCGUGCGACCUGGCGAAAGAAACACAUGCAGGAGUGCUAUAUUAAGUCACCACCCAACUAACAUAGCACAUCACUAACUUAAUUCGUCUAUGCCCUAGACGUUUCAACACACACCGGAUCAAGCAUCACAAAGUCCCUCUCCUGUAAUGACGGGGCUCGACCCCACCGUUAUUUCUCGUACUCAUGAUUAUCUCAAGUAACAUAACCAAGAUAACCGCUCGGGUAAUGAGUCACAAGACUUACGUGGUGUGUUAUCGAAAUAUCUUCCUCAGCCCCUCACGUUAAUCCAUAUUGGCCCAAGCACUUUACUAGACAUGCUCCGCAAGAUCGUAUUUUCUCAUGACCCUGAGAUACACGCUAAGUUAGUUACUUUGGACGUCCACUUCAUAUCGUAGUUCUAAGUCGAGGGCACAAAAGGGUUAGUGCUCACACAGUGACAUAGAGGGAAGAACUUAUGUCACUCUACUAACUGGUCGACAAGCACAUAUAGUAUGAUAUGUAUGCUAUGGCGGAGCUCCCACUCAAUGGCUCAUGUCACGCUCUAAAGAAAACGCCAUACGAACCUUGGUCUAGGUACCACUAAGGUAUCUAACCACCACAACUCAAGUCAUCUCUCUAACCUGAGUACUUAGGUUCGGCUACUAUACAGGCUCGAUAUAAAAUUUCACAAAAACUUUCAUAUCCAACACUUUAGAAUCUCAUCUUAAACUAAUUAAGGCGACUUUAAAUUAUAUCAAUACUUCAUUCAUAACAUAUAUGAACAAAGUAAUCAUAUUACAACUACUCAAGUUUAAUAUGAUUAUCUAGUCUCAUCCUGCUCACCACUUAGGUGCCAGGGCGAUCACCCGUGUGAGUGGGCUGAUCUGAGCCUGGUGACUUAUCGAAUAUGUGCCUACUAGUAUUAAUUACGCAAUCACAUUAAAAGAAGAAAAACAUAUUUUUAUUAAUAAAGCGUAAGAUACAAAAUAAUGUCCAUAUCAAAACCUACGAAGACCCAAACUCCUAACGUGGGUCUGAAACAUAUCCCUAGCUAUCGGCUUCGGCAACGGAUCAGGCACCAUUCUAGUGGUGGAGAUAUGCCUAAGAAUGACCUCGCUUAGCCUGAUCAUGUCUCAAAUGUAGUGAAAACGGAUAUCUAUAUGCUUUGUCCUGCCGUGAUACUUGGGAUCUUUCACAUACUCUAGGGCAGCCAUGCUGUUAGAGAACAUCUCAACAGGUUCAUUUGCUCGAGUCACGAUGUCGAGAUGCUGGAGAAAUCUCCUCAGCCAAACAGCCUCUUGAACGGCCACUGAACAAGCAACGUACUCCGCUUCCAUGGUUGACAAGGCAAUAUGGCUCGCUUCUUACUGCACCAAGAAAUUGCCCCACCUCCAAGCAUAAACAUAUAGCCUGAAGUGGACAUGCGUUCAUCUCUAUCACCGCCCCAAUCAGCAUCACUAUAUCCUUUCAAUCUCAAGUCCCCAGCUUGGAAGCAGAGAACGAGAUCACUGGUUCCUCUUAAAUAUCGAAGGAUUCUCUUGACCGCUUGCAAAUGAAUGGGUCCCAGGUUGCUCUAGUUAAACCAACAGCGAAACAAAUGUCAGGUCGAGUACACAUCAUAGCGUACAUCAAGCUGCCAACAGCACUCGCAUAAGGAACUUUACUCAUUUGCUCCUUUUCUUUAUCCGUUUUAGGACACUUAUCAAGAGUUAGAGUGUGAUUCUUCUCCACUGGAGUGUCAACGGAUUUACAAUGAUGCAUCCUAAAACACUCUAGAAUCUUUUUAAUAUAAGUUUCUUGAGACAAACCAAGAAGCUUCCUAAAGCGAUCACGGAUGACCUUCACUCCGAGCACAUAGCUCGCCUCACCUAUGUCUUUCAUUUCAAAAUUGAAAGACAACCACUCCUUAGUGGUAUUGAUUAACUCCAUGUCAUUUCCAGCCAAUAGUAUAUCGUCGACGUAUAGAGAGAGAAACAAAAUUCCAUUCUCUGUCUUCUUGACAUAUACACAGUGGUCCUCCUCUAUCAUGGACAUACCGAUAGAGGUGAUGGCUUCAUGAAACCUGAAAUACCACUGUCUCGACGACUGCUUGAGACCAUAAAUGGAUCUUUUAAGACGACAAACUUUGUCUUCUUGACUUUUGAGUAUAAAACCCUCAGGUUGAUCCAUAUAGAUCUCCUCCAUCAAUUCUCCAUUGAGAAAAGCUAUCUUGACAUCUAUUUGGAACAAUUCUAAAUCUAGGUGUGCCACUAAGGUUAGAAUCAAACAAACAGAGGCAAAUCGCACAACGGGAGCAAACGUCUCGUUGUAAUCUACCCCUUGCCUCCGAGUGUAGCCCUUGGCCACGAGCCGAGCCUUAUAUUUAUGUAGUGUUCUUGACCUUUGGAUAGGAUUGGCUUAGUAUUAGUGACUGGUCGACAUCUGGAGAGUGUCGGACUGAGUUGGAGUCAAUUCUGCACGAAUUGGAUGUAGAAUUGGACUCAGCGCACUCAAAUAGGCAAAACUGGAGUUUUGCCAGAUUCGGGCGCCCAGAACAUUUUAGGGUCGCCCAGAACUGAGUGUUGAAUUUAACUGAAACUGGAAGCCAAUUCGGAUCCCAUGUUCCGGGCGCCUUGAUGUGGGUCCGGAAAUUCGACAUCGUGAAUAUCGCUUGCUUCGACGCGUGGCAGGGCGGUAGGUGAGUUCCACUGGAGCCAUUUACGGGCGCAGCACACCGCGAGCGGAGAGUCCGAGGAGCCCGGUUUGUGCAGUCGGGAUGUUCUAGUCGCCCAGAACAUGGUUCCGGGCGCCCAGAAAUGCCCGUUUCUGCAGGGACACUGGAUAGCAGCUUGAGUUCCUGAGGCUUUUUGGAUCACUCUAACUCACUAUAAAUAGAUGGAAUGCGCCCCUUUGCUGUUCUUUUCCUCCCUUCUUCACAGAGAAGUCCCUUUUAGAAUCUCUACCCUCGGAUUUGCCUCAAUUUGCAUCAAACUUCCAUUGAUCCAGCUUGAUGGAGUGCUGAUUCUGCAGUUCUUCAGCAACGACCUCCAGUGUUUUGGCUCGUGCGCGACGUAGGAAGGUCGGAUUUUGACGAAACUUGGUUUGCUGGAUUUUAGACUUCUAGAGGAAUCUACGAAGCCCUGAAUUGCAGAUUUUGGUUGAGGUUAACUUGGUCAAACUGAGGCUUUUCUAGACUGCUGUUGACCUUGAGCUGAAAAUGGGAUUUUUGAGCUUUUCUUGAUGCUAUCUUUGUUGGCAGUGGGAUUUUGGACCUGAGAUUGAUCACCCAUCAGUAGUGGCUGGAUUUGGAUCUGUCCUCACCAGAUUUAGAGAUCAUUAGGUGAGUUUUGACAUUGGAAUUGAGAUAAUUAAGCUUAAGUGCUGAAAUUUUUGGUAAAUUGAUGGUUUUUAUUGAAUUUUUGGGUGAAUUGUAAAUCCAGAUCUUGAGGGGCUUUGUUGCUGGUUUGGAGGUGUUUCCAGCAGUGUUGCUUGUGAUCCGAGACCAUCUUGCUGCCAGGAGUUGCACUAGAGGUGGGUGUAUCAUCGGUUUCGCUCCUAAGUGCAUGUUUAGUCGACGUGUAUAGUUCGAUUUUUGUAUAUCAUGCUUUAAUUCAUCGAUUAGCAUCUUGAAUGUAAUAUGAAUGUAGAAGCAUGCUGAAAUGAAUAUUUAUAUUAUACAUGUUGGACUUGAAAUUUGACUUAGGAGAAAACCUGCGUUUUGACCCGUCAUAUGCUUAAACUACCAGAUUUAGCUCUAGGAGCCGUGAUUCGAUUGUAUCGUUGCAGUAUCAGUGCGAUGGAUACCUGGGGUAGUUUAGAAGGCAUUUACGCUCGUGCUGGGGUGCCGAGCUUAUUUUUCAGCAGAGUUUAGGCUGUUUCGGGUCGUUGGGUGCCGUUCGGGUUAGCGGUGGACCCAGAUUCUUGUUUUGGUCACAGAUUGUGCCGAGGGCACGUGGGUUUGGUUUGUAGACCUGUUUUGACCCUGUUUACUUGACUUUGGCUAGUUGGAGCCUGAUUGAGCUCGACAGAGAUACGCUGCAUACUCGGUUGGGUAGCGCCUACGAGUGCCACUUCGGAGUCAGGCUUUGUGCUUUCGCAUUGGUGUCGCUUAUGCCAGUUGGACUUGCUCUCCACGGACUAGUUAGUGUGGAUAGAGCCCGAUAGUCGCAACGGGGCAGGGACGGAUGUAUUCACAGUCCCGAGGACGGGUAUGCUUACAGUCCCGAUUUGAUUGGGUCAGAUUGGACAUUUUCUACAGUUGGUUAGUGUAGAGCAUGAUAGAGUAGUGUUUGAUAGCGGUAGACUUUAUUCCUGCAUUUACUACUAUUUUUGCUCCCUUCUAUAGACUUAGUGGGUGGACCGAUGUUGUUUUGGGCGGUACCCACUAAGGACUACUUGUUUUUACAGUAGUUCUCACGCCCAGUUGUUACCUAUGUUUUUGCAGAGCCACAGGUUCCGGCUGCUGCACCGUCUGCGGACCAGGAUCGAGGCAAGGGCGUCGCGAGUUAGAGCCCUACCCGACGUGCUGAGCUAGAGGUGCCCUACUGCAGGUAGAUGUUUUGUUUCGAGUUUAUGUACAUAGUUGACUUAACUCGCCAGUGCGAGUAGCUCUGUAUUUUGGAUCUGAACUAUGUAUAUGAAACUCUGUUUUAUUUAGCUUCUGUUUUCUCUAGCAGCUCUCUACUACUGUUCGUAGUAGUGUUUGAUUUACAGGUACAGCUAUCGCUUCGUAUACAGGGAAAAUUUCUUUGUAUACGGCGGAUUUGUCGGCGUGCCCGGGGAACGUGUAAUCCGGGGCGUGACAGAUUAAGUUGGUAUCAGAGCUUUGCUGUAGGUCGUGGGGACCUAGGAAACCUAAGUUUGGCAAACCUUAGGGAAGCAAGACGUGAGAGGCGUAAUUUUAUUGCGAAAGUCAAUGAUUAUUUGUUUUAACUCCUCUUAGAGUAGAGUGAGUGACUGAAGGAGUUUCUGUUUUGGCCUGAGAAAUUAUGUUGGCUGCAGACGACAUAAUUUUGGAGGAAAACAGGGACCGCCUUCUAGACUUUCGUUGAUUGGGUCGAGAGUGUUGCGUUGUAUCUGACCCCGAUUUGUUCCUUUCAGCUAUGUAUCGUCGCCGAGGUCGACCGUCGUUGCGGGAGCGCGCCCAGUUGGCGCGGGAUCAUGCUGGACCUUCUGAGAGAUCUGAGCAGAUGGAGCAGAGUACUCGGCAGGAGCAGGGUGACAGACUGGGGGCGAGUGUACCCCCUGUUGUGGAGCCGAGUGCGCGACCAGAGACUAGCGCACCCCCUGAUUUGAGUGCACAGUUAGCUGCCCUGACCGAGGUGACGAGACAGCAGGGGGAGUUAUUGCAGAGGUUGUGUGAGAGGAUAGCUCAGCCACCGAGUUCAGCACCGAGAGUACCAGAGUCGCCAGUGCCACCCCCGACUACUCCAGUGACCGCACCAGCUGCAGCAGUUCCUCCGUCGGCAGCAGUUCCAGUAGCGCCAGUUGCGCCUGCUAGGGGGCCAGUACCGUUGACUGAGGCCGAGCAGGAGCGGUGGACGGAGAGAUUAGCUCGUUUUCGCCGAUUUGAUCCACCGAUCUUCGAUGGCAGAGGCACUGAGGCCUGGAUUGUUGAAGGAUGGGUCAGUGCGAUGGAGAAGUUAUUCGAGGAUCUGUUUGUUCCAGAGUGGGAGCAGAUACCUCUGGGAGUACACUAUCUAUCAGGUGAUACACAUGAUUUGUGGCAGAAAGCGAGGCGAGACCGGGGACUGGUGGCGACGCAGCUGAGGUGGGAUGAGUUCUGUGGAAUGCUGUAUGGGAUGUAUUUUCCCAACAGCAUGAAACAGAAGAUCGAGGAGGAUUUGAAGAGGAUCCAGCAGGGUGAGCGGACAGUUCAGGAGUACGUUCGGGAGUUUACUAGGUUUCUGAAUUGUGUUCUGUUCGUGGCCAGAGACGAGACACAUAGGGUUUACUUGUUUGAGCAGGGUUUGAGACCUAACCUUUUCAGGUUUGUUAGGGCGCAGAGGUCGAGGACUCUGGAUGCGUCCAUUGAGCAGGCAUUAUGGGAGGAGAGAGGAGAGGUGUCGCUCAGAGAGAGGGCUCAGGGGCCGGGACUGAGCCAGGAUAGGAAGCGCCCAGCUCUAGACGACGGAGGCCAGUCGAGUAGCAGACGUCCGCCGAGGCCUCCACGAUCUCGUUCUCAGGGUCGUGGGUUCUCGGGACGCCAGCGAUCCAGGGACUCUCGUCAGAGGGGACAGCCAGAGAGGACGCCGCAGUGUGUGAUAUGCGGAGGACCACACUGGCCCAGACAGUAUGAGCAGAGGGAGAGCCGGUGCUACGGGUGUGGUCAGCCGGGACACAUGAGGACAGCUUGUCCUCGAGCAGCAUCUCCAGCACCAUCAUCAGCUUCAGCUCCACCAGCACCUCAGCAGUCAUUCAGAGCAGCACCACCGAGUUACCACCAGGAGGAUAGGUCGUCCGAGCCGCGACAGGGUGAGUGGCGACAGUAGGCUCAGAGUGGCAGAGUUUAUGCAACUCAGGUGGAGGACUCUUCAGCAGCCGACCGAGUGGUGGCAGGUAUCACUUUGAUUUUCGGCAUUUGUACUCGUACUCUUUUUGAUACUGGAGCUUCGCAUUCCUUUGUUUGCCGAGCAUUUGCAUUGUUGCAUGGUCUAGAGUUAGGAUCCUUGUCACAGGCACGAGAGGUGCAGAUCCUCGACCAUGUCUUGCAGGUUACAAAGUGUUGUUGGUCCUGUCCGGUGCAGUUAGACUCUUGGAUCAUGCCCGCAGACCUGUUGGUGUUAGGGUAGCUGCAGGACUUCGACGUAGUGCUCGGUAUGGAUUGGCUGGCGCGGUACUAUGCUACUAUCGACUGUGGAGCGAGGAUUGUGACGUUCCGCGAGCCAGGCCAGGAGGAGUUCACCUUCAGAGGCUGUAGGAGCACGUUGUUUGCCACUUGGAUAUCUUCGGCGAGGGCUCGACAGCUGAUGAGUAGAGGAUGUGUUGCUUUUCUAGCGAUUGUAACAGAGGUGCCUACGGCGGCGCUGGGACUCGAGGAUAUCCCUAUAGUCCGCGAGUUUCCGGAUAUGUUUCCCCCGGAGUUGAUGACGAUGCCGCCGGAGAGGGAGAUUGAGUUUGUGAUUGAUGUAGUUCCUGGAACUGCACCAAUCUCAAAGGCACCUUAUAGGAUGGCACCGGCAGAGCUGAGAGAGCUAAAGGCGCAGCUUCAGGAUCUGAUGGAUAGAGGGUUUGUGAGACCCAGUGUGUCGCCUUGGGGAGCGCCGGUGUUAUUUGUAAAGAAGAAGGAUGGUUCGCUCAGGUUAUGUGUUGAUUACCGGGAGCUGAAUAAAGUGACCAUCAAGAACAAGUAUCCUCUGCCGCGCAUUGAUGAUCUAUUCGAUCAGCUGCAAGGAUCUUGUGUCUUUUCGAAGAUUGAUCUCCAGUCAGGUUACCACCAGCUGAGGGUGAGGGCCGAGGAUGUUCCCAAGACGGCUUUUCGGACUCGGUACGGGCAUUAUGAGUUCACGGUGAUGCCUUUUGGAUUGACGAAUGCCCCUGCCGCAUUCAUGGAUUUGAUGAACAGAGUGUUCAAGCCGUUCUUGGAUAGGUUUGUGGUAGUCUUCAUCGACGAUAUCCUGAUUUACUCCCGGAGUGAUGCUGAGCAUGAGGAGCACUUGAGGAUUGUGCUACAGCUUCUGCGCGAGAAGAAGUUGUAUGCCAAGUUAAAGAAGUGCGAGUUCUGGCUACGGGAGGUUGCUUUCUUGGGCCACGUGAUUUCAGCUGAGGGCGUAGCAGUGGACCCGAAGAAGAUUGAGGCGAUUCGAGAUUGGCCUAGACCGACGACGGUUACUGAGGUACGGAGCUUCCUGGGACUGGCAGGAUAUUACCGUCGGUUUGUGGAAGGCUUUGCGAAGCUUUCCACACCCCUCACACGCUUGACGCGGAAGGGGAUUCGUUUUGUCUGGAGCGACGACUGUCAGAGGAGCUUUGACGAGUUGAGAUUGAGGUUGAUGUCGGCUCCUAUCCUUGCCCUUCCUGUUAUGGGCGAAGGAUUUGUGAUCUACAGUGAUGCAUCGCACAGUGGACUUGGUUGCGUGCUGAUGCAGCAUGGUAGGGUGAUUGCUUAUGCUUCACGGCAGUUAAAGGAUUAUGAGAAGAAUUACCCUACGCAUGACUUGGAGCUUGCCGCGGUGGUUUUUGCUUUGAAGCUCUGGCGGCAUUACUUGUACGGCGAGCACUGCGAGAUUUUUACUGAUCAUAAAAGUCUCAAGUAUCUGUUCACCCAAAAGGAGUUGAAUUUGAGACAGCGCCGGUGGUUGGAGUUGCUGAAGGAUUAUGACAUCAGUAUCCAGUAUCAUCCCGGCAAGGCGAAUGUGGUGGCAGAUGCGUUGAGCAGGAAGGCAGUGCAGAGCUUGAGUAUGUUGAUCACUCGGCAGAGACCGUUACUCGAGGAGCUGAGACGGCUGGGACUCGAGGUAGUGUCUCCUGGGUUUACUGCGAGAUUGACGUCUAUGAUCUUACAGCCCACUCUGUUGGACAGGAUUCGAGAGAAACAGAGUGGGGAUCCACACUUGUCGAGGAUUCGAGAGCAGCUUGAGAGGGGACAGGCCGAGGGCUUUGUUGUGGACAGUUCGGGAGUACUGCGGUACAGGGACCGACUGUGUGUACCUAUGGAUUCAGAGAUCCGAGAGGACAUCUUGAGAGAGGCUCACUGUUCACCUUAUACGGUUCACCCCGGUGGAACCAAAAUGUAUAAGGAUUUAAAGGCUCAGUUUUGGUGGAAUGGAAUGAAGAGGGACAUUGGUAGAUUUGUGGCUCAGUGUCUGACUUGUCAACAGGUAAAGGCCGAGCAUCAGGUACCUGCUGGCAAGCUUCAGAGUCUACCAGUGCCCGAGUGGAAAUGGGAGCAGAUCACGAUGGACUUUGUCGUCGGAUUGCCUAGAGCACAGGGUGGUUUUGAUGCGAUUUGGGUGAUAGUGGACAGACUGACCAAGUCUGCUCACUUCUUACCAGUGCAGACCACUUGGUCCAGAGAGAGACUCGCUCAGUUGUAUUUGGAUGAGAUAGUGAGGUUGCAUGGCGUGCCCACUUCGAUAGUAUCCGACCGAGACCCGAGGUUCGUCUUGUACUUUUGGAGGAGUCUUCAGACGGCCUUGGGCACUGUCUGCCACCACGAAUGACGUACCUCGCACGGUCGAUGAAUUUUCGGUGCGUGGGGUAGUAUUCAUGAUUCAGAUGAGUAUUUAUAUGUAUGUGGGUAUCAGGUUUUGCGGGUCCAUGGCUUCCAAUAGAUGCAAGCAUCUAUUGUUAAUUACCCCCUGUAGAUUGGGGUACCUUCGAUUAGGAGACCUUUAUAGAUGGGAUGAGAUGAAUCGCGUCUCGGUUUAUUGAAUCCUAAGUAUAUGUAUUAGGAUUCAGUUAGAUUUGAGGUUGAUUAGGCCCUAAGUAUAUGUGUUAAGACCUGAUCGAUAUUAAACUCUAUGUAUUAGAGUCUAAUUGGUUCAUGAGAUAUGGGUGUGAGAUCUGGGCAUUGGUUCAUAAGAUUUGGGUAUUGGUUUAUGAGAUUUGGGUAUUGGUUCAUGGGAUAUGGGCAUUGGUUUAUGAGAUUUGGGUAUUGGUUCAUGGGAUAUGAGUAUUAGGUUGGAUGUAUGGUUCAUGGGAUUUGGUCCAUGAGGUUUGGUGUAUGGUUUAUGGGAUUUGGUCCAUGAACUUGUUUUUGGCUCAUGGGAUUUGGUCCAUAAGGUUUGGUUUUGGUUCAUUUGGGUUCAAGUUUGGGUUUAUUUGUGGGUUUAUUUGUGAACUAGGUUUGGUUUGGAUUUGUGGUCCGUACGUGAACUUGAUUUGCAAUUUGGGUUCGCACAUGAACUUAAUUUGCAGUUUGAGUUCGUGUAUAAACUUGAUUUGCAAUUUGAUUUGGGGUCCAAAGAAAUCCCCUUUUGGUUUUGCAAUUAGAUUUGGGGUCCGAAGAAAUCACCUAUUGAUUUUGCAAUUGAAUUUGGGGUCCAAAGAAAUCCCCUUUUGAUUUUGCAAUUGAAUUUGGGGUCCGAAGAAAUCCCCGUUUGAUUUGAAUUUGAAUUUGAUCUUCAAAUUUGAUUUGGUUUGGGGUCCGAAGAAAUCCUCGUUUGGUUCUGAUUUGGGGUCCGAAGAAAUCCCCGUUUUGAUUCCAAUUCGGGGUCCGAAGAAAUCCCCGUUUUAAUUUUGAUUUGGGGUCCGAAGAAACGAGGAAUCAAAGAUUCCCCUCCCCUCUUCUUGCGAUGCUGCGGAUGACGUCGACGAAGUUGAUGACGGUGGCGUGGAUCUGUUCGGCCAUCGGAUUUGAUUUGACAUUUUCGAAUAAGUAUUGAAGGGUCCGAAGAAACGGGGAAUCAAAGAUUCCCCUCCCCUCUUCUUUCGAAAAUAUCAAACCGGCGAUGCUGUAGAUGUCGUUGGGGAUGGUGGCGUGGAUCUGUUCGGUCGGCAAAUUUGAUUCAAUAUUUUCAAAAUGUUUUGAAGGGUCCGAAGAAACGGGGAAUCAAAGAUUCCCCUCCCCUCUUCUUUUCGAAAAGAUCAAAACGGCGAUUGUAGAUGUCGUCGACGGAGUUGUUAACAGUGGCAUGGAUCUGUUCGGCCAGCAAAUUUGAUUCGAUAUUUAUCGAAGAAAUGUUGAAGGGUCCGAAGAAACAGGGAAUCAAAGAUUCCCCUCCCCUCUUCUUUCGAAAGUAUCAAACCAAACAUGCUGGAGAUGGUCGCGGCAAUGUAGAUCAUCCAUUCCAUCAUCAACGACUUCGAAUGGGGUAUUGAGAGGUCCGAAGAAACGGGGAAUCAAAGAUUCCCCUCCACUCUCCCACCGAAGCCAUCUAGAUGAUAUGGAUGGCUACGAUCGUCGGACAAAAGAAAAAAAAAAAAGAGGGGGAAGAAAAGAGAUCUUUUUUUUGUUUUAUUAUUAUUUUUACUUUCUUUCUUUUUUCUUUCUUUUUUACUACCUGCUGAUGGAUUCGAUGAAGCGGCUCAACGAUCUCUCUCUCUUUCUGCGGCUCGGCGAUUUCUCCUUCUUUCCGCGGCUUGAGUGAUAUCUCCUCCUUUCCUCGGCUCGGCAAUGUAUCCUCCUUUCAGCAGCUCGGCAAUAUCUCCUCCUUUGAAUAUUUUGAACUUGGAAGUGUGUAGCAAUCUAUCUAUCGUGUCGUCUCUCUCCAAAAAAAAAUUCCCUGAAUUUGAUUUCGGUUCCCGUAUUUAUAAUGGGAGGGGAGGAGUUAGUUAAGAAUUCAAAAUUCGAAAUUCGAAUUUUGAAUUAUUUGUUGGAUGGUUGGAGGAUAUUUGGGGAGUGGUUGGGAGUUCAAAAUUCGAAUUCGAAAUCGAAUGAGUUGUUGGAUAGUUGGAAGAUAUUUUGGGAGUUGGUUAGGGAAUUCAAAAUUCGAAAUCGAAUUUUGAAUGGGUUGUUGGAUGAUAUUUUGGGAAUUCAAAAUUCGAAAUUCGAAUUUUGAAUGGAUUAUUGGAGGAUACUUUGGUAAUUUGUUGGGGGUUCAAAAUUCAAAAUUCGAAUUUUGAAUAGAUUAUUAGAUGGUAUUUUGGGAAUUCAAAAUUCGAAAUUCGAAUUUUGAAUGGAUUAUAAUUUGAAAUCGGAUUUCGACUAGAUACUUUAUAAGGUGUGGGUGUGGGCCGUCGUUGAUCAGACCCACCUUAAUUUAUUGGGCUCAAAUUAUAACGGGCUGAAAUAAAGGCCCCCCCUCACCAUUUUUUUAUUUUUUAUUUAUUUGUUUGGGCUUUCGUAAGGGCCCGCCCACUUAUAUAUAUUUUUUUAUUUAUUUGUUUGGGCUUUCGUAAGGGCCCACCAAAUCACAUUUUUAAAUGUGCUUAUUGUAUAUUAUAAUUAUUGGCCCCAAAUUUUCUGGUUAACAUGAGACCUAUCAAAAUUGUUUCAGUCUGAAUCUAAUCAGUUUCGAUUAUGAUUAGAAUUUUUUUUUUUUGUCACUUCAAACAAAUUGCCCCCCACCUUUUCGACGUAAGUGUUUCGCGCGCGACGAAAAGGUGCCUAUCUUUUCUUUUUUUUUUCGUUCGGACACCUUUGAUCAUCCUUUUUUUUUCUUUUUUUUUUCUCGGUCCCCCACAUAGACCGUACCGCUUUUUUUUUUUUUUGAAUAUCAUCUCCGCGCCAUAUGCAUUUAAUUUGAUUGUUCGAUUGCUCAGUUUAAUAACAUAACGGUUAAUAUAAAAAUGCUUAGUUUAAUGACAUGGCGGUCGAUUGGAUGGCGGUCUAUAUAAGAGUGCUCAGUUUAGUGAGAUGGCGGUCUAUUGGAUAUGGAUUGCUCAAUUUAACGACGUGGCAGUCAAUUGGAUAUUUGUUGCUCAGUUUAAAGACAUGGCCGUCUAUAUAAAAGUGCUCAGUUUAGUGACAUGGCGGUCUAUUAGAUAUGGAUUGCUCAGUUUAACGACGUGGCGGUCAAUUGAAUAUUUGUUGCUCAGUUUAAAGACAUGGCGGUCUAUAUAAGAGUGCUCAGUUUAGUGACAUGGCGGUCUAUUUGAGGUUUGGUGCUCAGUUUAAUGACAUGGCGGUCGGUUUGANNNNNNNNNNNNNNNNNNNNNNNNNNNNNNNNNNNNNNNNNNNNNNNNNNNNNNNNNNNNNNNNNNNNNNNNNNNNNNNNNNNNNNNNNNNNNNNNNNNNNNNNNNNNNNNNNNNNNNNNNNNNNNNNNNNNNNNNNNNNNNNNNNNNNNNNNNNNNNNNNNNNNNNNNNNNNNNNNNNNNNNNNNNNNNNNNNNNNNNNNNNNNNNNNNNNNNNNNNNNNNNNNNNNNNNNNNNNNNNNNNNNNNNNNNNNNNNNNNNNNNNNNNNNNNNNNNNNNNNNNNNNNNNNNNNNNNNNNNNNNNNNNNNNNNNNNNNNNNNNNNNNNNNNNNNNNNNNNNNNNNNNNNNNNNNNNNNNNNNNNNNNNNNNNNNNNNNNNNNNNNNNNNNNNNNNNNNNNNNNNNNNNNNNNNNNNNNNNNNNNNNNNNNNNNNNNNNNNNNNNNNNNNNNNNNNNNNNNNNNNNNNNNNNNNNNNNNNNNNNNNNNNNNNNNNNNNNNNNNNNNNNNNNNNNNNNNNNNNNNNNNNNNNNNNNNNNNNNNNNNNNNNNNNNNNNNNNNNNNNNNNNNNNNNNNNNNNNNNNNNNNNNNNNNNNNNNNNNNNNNNNNNNNNNNNNNNNNNNNNNNNNNNNNNNNNNNNNNNNNNNNNNNNNNNNNNNNNNNNNNNNNNNNNNNNNNNNNNNNNNNNNNNNNNNNNNNNNNNNNNNNNNNNNNNNNNNNNNNNNNNNNNNNNNNNNNNNNNNNNNNNNNNNNNNNNNNNNNNNNNNNNNNNNNNNNNNNNNNNNNNNNNNNNNNNNNNNNNNNNNNNNNNNNNNNNNNNNNNNNNNNNNNNNNNNNNNNNNNNNNNNNNNNNNNNNNNNNNNNNNNNNNNNNNNNNNNNNNNNNNNNNNNNNNNNNNNNNNNNNNNNNNNNNNNNNNNNNNNNNNNNNNNNNNNNNNNNNNNNNNNNNNNNNNNNNNNNNNNNNNNNNNNNNNNNNNNNNNNNNNNNNNNNNNNNNNNNNNNNNNNNNNNNNNNNNNNNNNNNNNNNNNNNNNNNNNNNNNNNNNNNNNNNNNNNNNNNNNNNNNNNNNNNNNNNNNNNNNNNNNNNNNNNNNNNNNNNNNNNNNNNNNNNNNNNNNNNNNNNNNNNNNNNNNNNNNNNNNNNNNNNNNNNNNNNNNNNNNNNNNNNNNNNNNNNNNNNNNNNNNNNNNNNNNNNNNNNNNNNNNNNNNNNNNNNNNNNNNNNNNNNNNNNNNNNNNNNNNNNNNNNNNNNNNNNNNNNNNNNNNNNNNNNNNNNNNNNNNNNNNNNNNNNNNNNGUACGUGGAAAGCUCAGUCCACGUUUUGUAGGCCCUUUCGAGGUAUUGGAGUAGUCGGGCCAGUUGCUUACAGGAUUGCUCUACCACCACGGCUUGCCGGCAUUCAUGAUGUUUUUCACGUCUCGGCUUUGAGGAAAUAUGUGUUCGACCCCUCCCACGUGAUUGACUUCACUCCGCUUGAGAUUGGCGAGGACCUGAGUUACGAGGAGCGACCGGUGCGGAUUCUGGCUCGUGAGUCGAGGGAAUUGCGCAACCGGGUCAUACCCUUUGUAAAGGUGCAGUGGAGUAAUCAUGAGGAGCGGGAGGCGACUUGGGAGCCGGAGACGGUGAUGAGGGAGUCCUACCCCUACUUAUUUGAGGCUCUGGAUUGAGGUAUGUGUUCAGUUUCGCGGACGAAACUUUUUGUAGUGGGGGAGGAUGUAGUGUUCUUGACCUUUGGAUAGGAUUGGCUUCAGUAUUAGUGACUGGUCGACAUCUCUGGAGAGUGUCAGACUGAGUCGGAGUCAAUUCUGCACGAAUUGGAUGCAGAAUUGGGCUCGGCGCACUCAAAUAGGCAAAACUGGAGUUUUGCCAGAUUCGGGCGCCCAGAACAUUUUAGGGUUGCCCAGAACUGAGUGUUGAAUUUAACUGAAAUUGGAAGCCAAUUCGGAUCCCAUGUUCCGGGCGCCCAGAUGUGGGUCCGGAAAUUCGACAUCGUGAAUAUCGCUUGCUUCGACGCGUGGCAGGGCGGUAGGCGAGUUCCGUCGGAGCCAUUUACGGGCGCAGCACACCGCAAGCGGAGAGUCCGAGGAGCUCGGUUUGUGCAGUCGGGAUGUUCUGGUCGCCCAGAACAUGGUUCCGGGCGCCCAGAAACGCCCGUUUCUGCAGGGACACUGGAUAGCAGAUUGAGUUCCUGAGGCUUUUUGGAUCACUCUAACUCACUAUAAAUAGAUGGAAUGCGCUCCUUUGCUGUUCUUUUCCUCCCUUCUUCACAGAGAAGUCCCUUUUAGCAUCUCUACCCUCGGAUUUGCCUUAAUUUGCAUCAAACUUCCAUUGAUCCAGCUUGAUGGAGUGCUGAUUCUGCAGUUCUUCAGCGACGACCUCCAGUGUUUUGGCUCGUGCACGACGUAGGAAGGUCGGAUUUUGACGAAACUUAAUUUGCUGGAUUCUACACUUCUAGAGGAAUCUACGAAGCCCUGAAUUGUAGAUUUUGGUUGAGGUUAGCUUGGUCGAACUGAGACUUUUCUAGACUGCUGUUGACUUUGAGCUGAAAAUGGGAUUUUUGAGCUUUUCUUGAUGCUAUCUUUGUUGGCAGUGGGAUUUUGGACCUGAGAUUGAUCACCCAUCAGUAGUUGCUAGAUUUGGAUCUGUCCUCACCCGAUUUGGAGAUCAUUAGGUGAGUUUUGACAUUGGAAUUGAGAUAAUUAAGCUUAAGUGCUGAAAUUUUUGGUAAAUUGAUGGUUUUUAUUGAAUUUUUGGGUGAAUUGUAAAUCCAGAUCUUGAGGGCCUUUGUUGCUGGUUUGGAGGUGUUUCCUGCAGUGUUGCUUGUGAUCCGAGACCAUCUUGCUGCUAGGAAUUGCACUAGAGAUGGGUGUAUCAUCGGUUUCGCUCCUAAGUGCAUGUUUAGUCGACGUGUAUAGUUCGAUUUUUAUAUAUCAUGCUCUAAUUCAUCGUUUAGCAUCUUGAAUGUAAUAUGAAUAUAGAAGCAUGCUGAAAUGAAUAUUUAUAUUAUACAUGUUGGACUUGAAAUUCGACUUAGGAGAAAACCUGCGUUUUGACCCGUCAUAUGCUUAAACUACCAGAUUUAGCUCUAGGAGCCGAGAUUCGAUUGUAUCGUUGCAGUAUCAGUGCGAUGGAUACCUGGGGUAGUUUAGAAGGCAUUUACGCUCGUGCUGGGAUGCCGAGCUUAUUUUUUAGCAGAGUUUAGACUGUUUCGGGUCGUUGGGUGCCGUUCGGGUUAGCGGUGGACCCAGAUUCUUGUUUUGGUCACAGAUUGUGCCGAGAGCACGUAGGUUUGGUUUGUAGAUCUGUUUUGAUCCUGUUCACUUGACUUUGGCUAGUUGGAGCCUGAUUGAGCUCGACAGAGAUACGCUGCAUACUCGGUUGGGUAGCGCCCACGAGUGCCAAUCCGGAGUCAGGCUUUGUGCUUUCGCGUUGGUGUCGCUCAUGCCAGUUGGACUUACUCUCCACGGACCAGUUAGUGUGGAUAGAGCCCGAUAGUCGCAACGGGGCAGGGACAGGUGUAUUCACAGUCCCGGGGACGGGUAUGCUUACAGUCCCAAUUUGAUUCGGUCAGAUUGGACAUUUUCUACAGUUGGUUAGUGUAGAGCAUGAUAGAGUAGUGUUUGAUAGCGGUAGACUUUAUUUCUGCAUUUACUACUAUUUUUGCUCCCUUCUAUAGAUUUAGUGGGUGGACCGAUGUUGUUUUGGGCGGUACCUACUGAGGACUACUUAUUUUUACAGUAGUUCUCACGCCCUGUUGUUACAUCAUCUUUUUGCAGAGCCAUCGUCUUCGGCUGCUGCUAUUGCUGAUCAGGAUCGAGGCAAGGGCGUCGCGAGUUAGAGCCCUACCCGACGAGCCGAGCUAGAGGUGCCCUUCUGCAGGUAGUUGUUUUGUUGGAGUUCAUGUACUUACCUAUCUUUAACUCGCCAGUGCGGGUAGUUUGUAUUUUGGAUUCUGGUAUAUGUAUAUGGAACUCGGUUUGGUUUUCUUCUGUUUCUCCUAACAGCUUUAUACUACUGUUUGUAGUAUUGUAUGAUUUACAGGUACAGUUAUCGCUUUGUAUACAGGAAAAAUUUCUUUGUAUACGGCGGAUCUGUCGGCGCGCCCGGGGAACGAGGAAUCCUGGGCGUGACAAUUUAUUGAUUGAUCCAUCCGUCUUGCGCUUAAUUUUUAAAACCCAUUUAUUUCCAAUAGACUUGCGCCCAGGCGGAAGAUCAACCAAUUCCCAUAUUUGGUUCUUGCUCAUGGAGUCCAUCUCAUCUUUCACAGCAGCCAUCCACGCACUGCAAGCUGACGUCUGUAAUGCUUCUUUAUAAGAAGCAGGUUCAUCAUCAUCGAGCGGAGUGCACAUUAAAAUAUCCUCUUCGAUCUCAAAAUGUCGACGGAGAAUAUGUCCACGUUCACUUCUACGUAAUGGAGGGUCUGAACUGUCGACUUCUAAGGGUAUGCUCUCAUUCAAGGAAGCACUCCCACUAGCCGAAGGAUUGCUACCACUUCCUUCAGCGACUUCGGAAGUAAUCGAUCACCCUCAAUAUCAGAUGGGGUAGCGUCGUCGUGUAACUAAUACAAUCCAACGUCUCUUCGCAUUUCACAAAUGCUUGAAAAAUUUCCUUCUAGGAAUUCCACAUCAAGAGAUUCAAUCUCGGUCAUACUACCAUCUGGGUGUUUACGAUACAUCACAUAGCCCUUCGAAUUUUCAGGGUAUCUGAUGAACACAUGCUUGCUCACUCUAGGGCCGAGUUUUUCGAAUCUAUGUGUGAGACUGUGAACAUAUCUAUCCGAACCCCAGGGGCGUAAGUAGUGUAAACUAGGCUUUCUACUGCUCCACAACUCAUAUGGGAUAGUAGGCACUGAUUUGCUAGGGACUCGAUUAAGGAUGUAGGCUGCAGUCAAAAGAGCAUCUCCCAAAAAAUUUAUGGAAAGUUGCACUUGCGCCAUCAUUGCGGUUCCUUCGCUCUGCAACACCUUUUUGUUGAGGAGUACCAGGAAUAGUGAGCUGUCUACUAAUGCCCUUUUGCUCACAAUAAGUCUUGAACUGAUCAGACAAGUACUCACGACCUUGGUCAGUGCGAAGCACCUUUACACUUCUUUCUAUUUGAUUCUCAACCUCUGCAACGAAGCGCUUGAAGCAAUCUAAAGCUUCAGAUCGGCGAGAAAGCAAAUACACAUAUCCAUAACGAGAAUAAUCAUCAAUGAAUGUGAGAAAAUAGCAAUCACCAUGCCGGGCCCUCACAUUCAUUGGUCCACAAAUGUCUGAGUGGAUUAGCUCUAAAGGAUGAGAGGCACGAGUAGCCUUACAGCCAGACAAGGCCCACACAUAGAUAGGUCAACUUUGGCGAGAGACCCUAAAAGGCCUUCUCGAGCCAGUCUAUUCAUUCUUUCUUGACCUAUAUGGCCUAAUCUGGCAUGCCAUUUAACGGAUUCAUUACAGAGAAUAGAUAAAGAAAAAGAAGAAGCAAAUGCAAACGAAUCAUCCUCCAAAUAUAAUUUAAAGAAACCAUCAAUUAAUGUACCAUAUCCAAAUAAAGUACCAUGAAAGAAAAUAUCAAGGCGGUCACUGUCAAAAUGAAAUGAAUAUCCUAGAUGCAACAAAGCUAAAAUUGAACAUAGAUUACAACGAAUUUCGGGUGCAUAUAGCACGUCCUGAAGAAGUAAAGUGCGGCCACCACGAAACUUGAGUUGGUACGAACCGACUCCAAGGACUUUUUCCUUCGUGCCGUUCCCAAGGGUGACAAACUGUGUUCGAGACGGUACUCGAUGGUAAUCUACGAACCCGACUCGGUCACAAACUACGUGUUUGUUUGCUCCUGUAUCCACAAUCCAAUCAGGAAGAGAAUGAGCUACUAAAGCAUGAAAGCAAACAAAACAGUGUGAGUUGAGUGGUAGGGUUACCAUUUUCAGCUCAGGAUAAUUUCGAGCGAAAUGACUCUUCUGCUUGCAAUUGUAACAUUUUAGCUUUGUAGCAUCCUUACUACCAGCGCGUUUGCCUCUUCGGCGCUUUCCAACUCCACCCUAAGGAGCUUGAUUCCAUUUCUUCUGCGCUCCAUUGUUGUGAUGCUUUUUGUGCUUGGGUGUAAUCCCAUUGCGCUUCUCGGAGCAUGCAACAAAAGCAACAGAACGGUUUACUUCCAAGCGCUCUGCUUGAGAUGAUGCGAGAUAUCAUUAAACAUUUUAAUGUUCUCGUUGUGCGUCAUCAGGAGCUUCAUCUGGGACCAUUCAGUAUCAGGCAGUGAACGAAUCACUGCUAGAACUUGUUGCUCAUCAGUGAGCUCAUUUCCAGCAGUCUUAAGGUUCCGAAUCAUGGCACUGAUCACACGAAGGUGCUCAGCCAUUGAAUGCUUCGGGUCUUUAAUGUACUGUAGAAACUUGAGAUUUAAAGCACGUAGCCUUGUGGAUGAAGUUUGGCCAAAAGUGAUUUCAAAUUGUCCCACAUGUCCUUGGCAGUUUCAAAGAUCUCAAACUGUCCAAUGAGGUCGUCUUGCAUGGCACACAACAUAGUGUACCGAGCAGUUCGAUCCUCCUUGAUCCAUUUGUUAUAGAUCUCUUUUUUAUGCUCAGAAGCUGUGCCUUCGGCAGGCAUGACUCUUUCGACAGAAAGAGUUUCAAGAACCCCUUGUUCAUUAAGCAGAUAUUGCAUUUUCCUAUGCCAGAUAUCAUAAUUCUUUCCAUCUAGCUUAUCAUCUCUAGUGAAAUCAGCUAUGAUGUUUUUGAAAGUCAUUUCACUACAUUCAAAAAAUAGGUUUAGACAUUAGGCACAUAUUUCCAAAAAAAAAUUAACAAGAUUGGAACAUUAUCCUCGACACAACGGGAUCGAAAACUUCGCUAUACUCGUAAUCAUCACCCAGUGUCGGUUCAAAUACUACAAUCUUAUUAAUUUUCUAUUAAUUUUGAAACUUAUCCAAAAGUCAGAACUCAUCCAUUUUGAAGAACACAUCAUUUUCUUGAAAAAUAUUUAUAUAAGGAGAACUUAUCUCAUAAUAUCAUCACAUAAAUAAAAAAUAAGUACUUAUGCCAAAAUUAAUUUGAAAACGUCGACGCUGUGUAAAACACAUUCCUUUACAUGGCCUUAAUUAUUACAUCACAUUUUACAUAAUUAAAACCUACUACAUCACUAUAAGAUGUUCAUCAGAAAAAAAAAAAAAAAAAAGAAAAAAAAAAAGAGAAAGUUCUACAGGAAUACUGCACAUGUCGAACCCAUUUUUUCAAAAUUAAAUUUUGUUGAAAGAACACCGAAAUAACAUAAGUACUUAUAUGCCAAAAAAAAUUAUACAAUCACAUACUACAUAAGCAUUUAAAAAACACCAACAUAGGAUAAACAACACAUGCAGGUUCUAAAAUUGGCAUAAAAAAUUAUAUAUGUAUCCAAAAAAAAAUUUACUACGCAGGAAACAAAAAUAACCACAGAGUAAUAUGUACAUAUAUAUCAUUAACAAUCCUAAACUGCACGGGUGGCCGGGCCGAGCUUGCUAGCCCACCAGCGCGCUGCAGGGUCGUGCCCGCGCGGGUGUACGCCCGCGCCCGCGCGGUGCGCGCGGGUGCGCCCCACUCCCGCAGCAGGCCGGGCCCGCGCGGUUCACACGGGUGCGCACCCGCGCCCACAGCGGGCCGGGCCCUAGCGGUGCGCGAGGGUGCUCGCCCAUGCCCGCAGCGGGCCGGGCCCGAGCGGUGCACGCGGGUGCCUGCCCGCGCCCACAGCGGGCCGGGCCCGCGCGAGUUUGCCCCGCUCCCGCAGCAGGUUGCGCUAGUGUGGUGCGUGCGGGUGCGCGCCCGCGCCAACAGCAGGCCGGGCCAGCGAGGUGCGCGCGGGUGCGCGCCCAUGCCCACAGUAGGCCGAGCCUGCGCGGUUCGCUCGGGUGCGUGCUGGCACUCGCCCGCAGCAGGUCGCGUCGUGCUCGCCGCUCGAGCAAUUUUAUUUUAUUUUUAUUCCAAUGCACGAAGCAGAGAAUAAAGAAAAAAAAAAUACUAACUUAUGUAAAAAAAUUCGCAUAUUUUAUGAUCAAUUUGAGAGAAAACUAAAACUAAUUUAGUUUUUCUCUUCCUUCUUUUUAAUCGAUUUUACAUAGAAGACGAAAAAAUUGUAGAACUAAUCUACUUAAAAAAAAUUGAUCAACAAAUGCGAUCUAAGAAACAUCACAGGCAUGAUCACAAGGCGAAAACAAACACACAAGCUCUGAUACCAAUUGUUGGAAUUAAUAGGGGAGCGAAAACUUACAAACUGGAUAGCCAUCGUAUCUGGGAACCCGAAUCGAAUCGGAUUGUUUGUUUUACAAGCCUUCCGUCCUUAUCUCGAUGCUUCUGGAUCUCCCACGUUUCUCGCCUUCUCCCACGCCUACGCCUCACGUCACGGAUCGAGUGCGUCGUAUGCAGAUAGGAUGCAACGGAUGUCAAUCGAAGAGGGCUACCAGAGUCCUCUUCUAUGUCCAUACUCCAAAACCCCGGGAACGUAGUUGGAAAUUCCAGAGAGGAAGAAAGGAGAAAAUAAGGAAGAUAUUUCGUGGAUUAUUGAAUUAGAUCGUAUUCGAUCGUCUCUCUUUCAGGAGAGAAAAGGGGGCGUAUAUAUAGAAUAACGGAACCCCUAAAUAUCCUGAAUCUCAUAUAGAUUAGGAUAAGGAUCAGGAUAUCUAUUAAUACACAAUAAAUAUUCACUAGUAAAUACAUUUCUUAACUUAUAAAAAAUAUAUGAUUCAUUUUUAUCCUAAACUUAUUAGGAUAAAUCAUGAUCCACGUCUUAUGUGGAUCGGGUUAAAUCAUAACCCGCUAAUGUGGAUACACCAUAUGGCAACAUAAUGCAAUCUCUCUACAAUCCGGAAUAACAAUUAACUUCACGUUGUUAACAUCGAUAUACUUGUUGCAUACAUGCAUGACUUUUAAACCUCUUCCGCAUAAUACAAUGAAAGACUAUUAGAGUGUCAUACAAUAAACUCUUUUGUGUUUUGAUUCAGGUGCUUUCAUGAGGUUCAGUUACACACAUGAUUUGAGAUUAUCAGAUGAUGUGAGAGAUUUUAGAAUUAUCUUCCGUAAUUCAGGAAAUGGCUUUACCAUAGAUGAAAUGAACUUUUUGAUCUCUUAAAUCUGUUGUUUUACUUGUGAUUUCUUCUUGUUUAGUGAUCUCAAUAGAAUCCAAUCUAUGAGUUUUGUAUGGUAUUGUGUUCUAAAUACUGUUAAGAAGUUCUUAUUAUUUAUUUAUAUAUUUUGAACAAAUCCGUAGGUCCAUCCAAAAAUCUCAUUCAGAAACCUCCAAUCACUAGUGAUAAAUUUUAUAUUUAUUUUUUCUCUUCAAAAAUAUUUGGUUAAAUUCGCCCCGGUAAUAACCCACAUGUGAGAGAUUAAAUGUGAUGCCCCUACUUCUCAUAGGAACACCCAUCCUACCACUCAAAAUACUUAAAACGGGUUAAGAGUUCAGCCCUAUUAUAUUUUAUAUAUAGGACUAGACUCGUCUCGCUAGUUUUAUCAUUCCGAUUUUGGCUCAGCCGAGACUCAUCUUACACUUUCGACUGGUAAUUGGCUCUGAUACCAACUGUGACGUCUUAACUUUCCAGAGGGUCACCCAUCUUAGAACUACCGUCCUAACACGCUUAGCUCUCUUAAUUUUUUAAACCUAGCCACCAUCCAAAAUAUUUAAACCGGAUUAACAGUUUAGUCCUAUUACAUCUCAUAUAUAAAACUAUUCCGAAUCUCACAUUAAACCCUCAACUUUUUGAUCCACGACCGAAAUAUCAACUAGCUAAUCUAGACAGCGGUGAUAUUUUAUUUUUCUAAUCAAAUUCUAUUGGCCAGAAUUAAUAGAUUAAAUUUGCCUCGUUGAGAGCCCGUCCUCUUACUUAAUAAUGACUCUUAUAAAGAGUAGCUUAUUUAGGGCACUUACUAUAAUAGCUCAUUUCAGGUGAAAAGUACUUGGUAGGGACGCAAAUUGAUUUGGGAAGUUGGAGCUUCCGUCUUGAUUCAUCUUGCAUGCGACGGUAAGUGGGAAUUGAAAAUAUAAAAACACAUACCUACUUCAAAUCCGUUCUGAUCCGUUAAGUAAAUACAGUAGGAGGCGAAAAACCGCUUUCUUUUUUGAAUCUGUUUCGAUCCACCAAAACUUCGCCAACAAUUUACUCCCGUCCCGAUUGACCCCAAUUGGAGCCGUAAGUGAGAGCCAAAAAUAAAAUUAAAAUUAAUUCGUCCCGAAUCCACCCCGAUCGGACAAAAAGUGGAGCGGGAAAAGAAAGAUCGCUAAUGCUUGGGUUUCAUAAUCCGUCACCAAUCUUCUAAAUCUUGCUCGAGAGUCUAUUUGGCAAUGAAUUUGCUUCUUACAAGAUUCAUUUUGAAGAAAACUUUGUGAUUCUACUUCGUACAAUAUUUUUUUCACUUCUUUCAUAUAUAGUGAGAACCAAAUUGUGCGUCACUUGAUGUUUGAACAUAAUAUAUUAAAAUAUUAUUCUCUACUAAUUUAUACUUUUUGAGACAAAUAAUUAUUUUACAUAUUACCAAAGCAAACUUUCUAAUUUUCUUUCAUUUAAAAUAAGUUCACAAAAUGUUUCUCGCCUAGGUUUGAGGAAUGUUAAAUCACAGCACUCCACUAGUUUAAAAUUAGGAAAAAUUUACUAUAUGCCCUUCCAAAAGCAUAUAAUUGCAUAUAUUCCCCUUUAAAAUUUGAAAUAUCAUAAAUGAUCCUCUAUGUGUAUGAAACCUUCAAAAAUCCAGCUAUUUUAUUAAUUAAAAUUUAUGUAAAUAUCAAUCGAAUUCCUAUUUUGCCCUCUUUGAAAACAAUUCAGUACUCACAUAUCAAAUAUAGUUUCGAAAAUACCCUUUAAAUUCAAGAAAACUUUAUAAAUUUUAAAAAAAAAUGUUUUUGUAAACCGAGCUAAAACAAACUUUCAAAUCUAAACUAAUUGUAAAAAAAUUAAACUCAAAAUUUUAAAAAUAUGAGAAAAGUAAAAAAAAAAUGGUUAACCAGCUUACAACUUUGAAACUAAUCCAAAUAAAUUAUUAUGUUACGGAGUGAACUAUCUAAACUAAUAUAAUGUGUGAACUAACUCAUUUAGCACAUAUUACGAAAGAAGUUAUUGGUUAAAAAUUUUAAAAUAAAAUAUCCAUAUAAUAUAUAAAGUAAUUUUUAAUAUCUUUAUUUAAUGUAGUAAGUAAAUAAUAAAAGUUAUGGGGAUUAAAUUACAAGAACAAGAAUUAACAGCUGAAGGGGUCUUCAUAUAUUUUUAGUGGCAAUAUGUUUGUAAGAAAUUAUAUAUUUCAAAGACUAAUCUGGAAGUAGUCUUAUUUGUAAAGAUGUUUAUAGUAUUUUUUAAUUUUAGAAGGUUAUAAGUGAAAUUGAUUCUUAUAUCUUUACCUACUUUAUUCUAAUAAAGAAUACUCAAAAGUAGGGAUAAAAUGGCAACAUUAUAUUUUAAAAUGUAUAGAAAUUGAUAUUAAAUAGAGAAGGACCUAUUUAUGAACCGUAUUUGACAUUUGGGUUAUUCAUGAAAUUUCAAAAAUUAAAAGGGCAUCUAUGAAAUUUCAGAAUUUUAGGAGGGCAUCAGUGAAAUUGUGUUAAAAUGUUGUGGACAAAUAAUUGCUUUUUCCUUGGCAUUAAUUCUAACAUUAGUAUUUCCUAACUAGGGAUGGAACUGGCCCUGGGCCUAAAGAAGGCCGGUCCCGAUGGGUCAUAUAUGGGCCGGGGUUUGGAUAUCAAAUUUAUAUAUGAGAAUAUAUUAUAAAUAGUAUUAUUAUAUACAAGCAAGUAAAUAUAUAUAAGUACGUAUUAUUAUAUAUAAUUAUAUAUUUAAUAUCUCCACUCACAGACAUGAUGAAUUUGAAGGGCAUUUAUGUGACCAAAAAAACUAUAUGAUAGAAAAUAGAUUUAGAAAUACAUUUUAACAAUAAGUAGAAAUAUCGAACAUGCAAAAUUAUAAUAUGGUUUGGUUUCCAACGAGAUAAUAAUAAUAAUAAUAAUAAUAAUAAUAACUUCAUUAGAUAUGCAGAUGGUGUGGUCUCAACUGAGUGCAUCUAAUUGAGGCUCGUAUUUAGGCCUUGUACAUUAUGGUUUAAUUUUUGUGAGCCCCAAAUUGGCCUAAUUAGGGUUUCCUUGAGUUGAGAACUUAUUGUUUACUUGCUCAUUGCAUCACUCUAGAUUAUUUUUACAAUUCCGUGCAUAAGAAAAUUUUUCUCUAUAUUUAGAUGUACAUAAAAAAUCUAGGAUUAAUUUCAUUCAGCUCCCCCGUAAACAUAUCAAUAUAUCGCAGAUAUAUAUCUGAAAAGUUUAACUUUUCAUAUUUAUCCUUGCAAAAAUCCGGUGAUAUUCUUAUUUGCUUAUCUGAUUUAUUACCGUUAGUGUACUGUUUAUUUUUUAAUAAAAAAUAAGUAAAAUGAUAUUUUUGUCAUCACAAAUACAUCCCUUCAAAUGUUUUAACUGUUAGAAUUAUGCAAAAAUAUUUUUUCAAAAAUUGUCAAAUGACAUCUUCUUCCCUUUUACCAUCACAAAUAAUAUAAGAGGGUAAAAAGAUCAAUUUACUUCAUUCACUAGUUAAGGUUAAGCAUUUUAUCUAUGGUUAACUAUAUUUUUCUAGCAGAUCCUAACAGCGCGGGUAUAUUUAAAAAUAUUAGAACUUUUAUAAGAAUAAAUAGAAAAAGUUAUACUUUAUAGAGAUAUAUUUACUAUCCGAUAUAUUUACAGGGAACUGUAUGCAAAUUUGGGAGACAAUCAAGCUGGGCCUCCUAAUUUGGACGGUCCAAAUUGAUCCAACCGCACGAUGCGGAGCGGAUUUGUCCAUCCGUUUCUGGGAUGCCUGACCCGGCCCGUAAAAAUUCGGUCCUAGUUCUAAAGAUUUGCUUAGACCUAACCUCUCAAUUUGUGUGGAAUAAAAAAUUUUCUUUUCAUCAUAAAAAGUGAUUAUUUUUUUUGUAUAUUUUGCUCUCUAAGAGAGAUGUUAUUUUUAAUUUUUUUUUAAAUUUUUAGAACUUUAGUUCUUUAUAACUAUAGGUAUUGAGGCAACAUAAAAGCGCGUAAAAUGCACACGACCAAUCAAAUUUUUAGAUAAUUUUCUUCGUACUAGAAUAAAAUUGAAAAAAAAAAAGUAUUACCACAUUUCUUUUCCACCCAGAAUUAUGCAUAAUUUAUUUCUGUGAAAGCACCGUAUAAUAUAAAAGAUGCACUAUUAUGUCUGAAAAUGAGACGUCGAAAUUAUAAAAUUUUAUAUUUAUUUUACUAAAAAAAUCAGGCGUGGUAGAAAUUAAAAAUUUUUGUGAAAUUUUAUGGUCCCUUAAAACACGCGAAUUCAAAUUCUACCUCUCUGGUUGGUAAUUUUUUUUUCCCAAAAAAGUUUGAUUCAAAAAGUCUAAAAUAUUCUUCUGCGAAUUUUGAAUUUAUCCCAAAAUUUUAAAUUGAGUACAAGAGACAAGUAAAGUUAUGAAUCUCUUAAAUAUAAAACUUUUAAAAAGAUUUUAUAUACUCAAAUUAUAGUAUCCCUAGUGUUUUGUAGCCCGUGUGAUUUCAGCAUCUGAGGCUUGUGACACGUCUAGAGAGUGUCGGAACAAGUCGGAGUUGUUUUGGCAUGAAAUAGACGCAAAACGGACUCAACACGACACGAGAGUGGAAUUCUGACACUGAAAUCUGCAAAUUGCAUGAUUUCAGUGUUGAGUAUCGGUACUUAAGAGGAGUACCGGUACCCUAGUAGAUUUCAGAAUUGAGUGCUCUCGGGUUUGAGCGUAUUCGAUGCUGAGUAUCGGUACCGACUUGUCGAGUACCGGUACCGAGCCCAAGUACCGGUACUGCAUCGGGCGAGUAUCAGUACCCAGUGCGCGAGACUACGGGCUGAGGGGCCGGGUACCAGUAUUGGAGUUGGAUACCGGUACCCCAGCUAAAUUUUUGAGUUGGUAAAGGAUAUUUUGGUCUUUCGAAGUGACGAUCAACCCAAUGUUUAUCCUCAGCCUUAUAUACAUAUAGAGAGCUCAGAGAGGAAGGUUUGUUUGCUGCUCUGUCUCUCGCUCUAGUUUUGGACGUGCUCAUGGUGGAGGUCGCGACUCGAGCCCGGGAGGUUGUCGACGUUGAUCUGGAGGACCGUUUGAGCACGUGGUCGUCGCGGUUGCGCCGUUGGAGGCUGUGCGAGCACGUGGAUUCCCUUCUUUCAACUUCUCGCCGUGGUUGGACGAGCUUUGCAAGGUGGGUUGAUGUUUACCGAAAUAGUCGGAUACUCGGAUUUCCUCCUACGUCGAGAUAUUGUCAGCAUGUAUGUUUUAUGUGUAAUAUCAUGUUAGCAGCUCAAUUCAUCGAUUUGCAUAGUUUUUGUGAAAUUUGAGUUGGAGCCUUAAAUUCUAGAAUUGUUUUACAUGUUGGACUUGAAAUUGACUUAAAAGAAAAUCAUUAAACCCUACACUAUCAUUUUCUUAAAAGUUACUAAAUUUAACUUUAUGAGUUGUGGUUCUUUUGUAUCACUGCUGUUAGUAUGCGGUGGAUACCCAGAUUAGAGUAGGUUGAGAUUACACUCGUGCUGGGAUGCCUAGUUAGUCUUACAGUAGUGUGUAGACUAUUUCGGGUUAUCGGGUGCCGUCGCGGUUGACGGUGAACCCAUAUUUAUGUAUUUUGCAUCAGAUUGUGCCAAGGGCAUGUGAGUUUGAUUGUUAGACCGUUGCAUUGACUACAGUCGUCAGAGCCUGGUUGAGCUCAGUAGAGACACGCUUACAUACUCGAUUGGGUAGCACCUACGAGUGUCGCUCCGGAGUGAGCCUUUACAUGCGUUGUCAUCAUCGUAGUCCUGUUUGGACAGUGUUCUUGGGCCGGCCACCUCUGUGGUGGUGUGCGGUAUAGCUUGGACAUAGGCUGGACAGGCUAGUUGGCAGUCCCUUGACCUUGGGUUAGUGUAGUCGUUGUUGCAGAGGGUGUAUUUUUUAUAUCUAUAGAUAGCUCAUUGUGAGUAGCGAUAGUAUAGUAGCAUUUAGCUGUAGAGUUCAUUCCAGCUUUUCUUACUAUCUCUUGCACGCAUUUCUGUAGACUUAUUGGGUGAGCUGUUGAGGUCGGUGACGGUGCCCACUGAGGACUAUUCUAUUUUGCAGUAGUUCUCACACCCUUUUGUUGACCCCUUUUUGCAAAACCUUCGUCCGCGGCUGCUGCUGUUGUGGAUUUAGACCGAGGCAAGAGAGUCGCAAGUUAGAACCAUCCCUUCUUUGGUUGCCAGCUAGAGGAGCACCUAUCCAGAGGUAGUUUUGUAUUUUGUUUGUACAUAUUGUGAUGUUGUCAUGGUACUCGCUAAAGCGAGUUGGGUUGUAGACAUUUUGUAUGUACAGGAACCCUUCGAGGUUUAUAUAUAUGUUUAUUUUUCAGUUUAGCAGCUUUUUACCUUUUAGUUGUAGCUUGGUUUUGUUUACAGGUACAACUAUCGCUUCGUAUAUAGAAGAAAUUUCUAUAUAUACGACGGGUCUGUUGGCGUGCCCGGAGAUCUGUGGUAACUCGGGACGUGACACAAAUAAUUAAGAAUUUUUAUAAGAUUAAUUUAGUGUAAAAUGACAUAUAAUAUUAGUUCUAAAAAAAGAGAAAAUAUUUUUAUGUGUUGAAUAAUUUAUGUGUUGAAUUUUUUAUAAGAUUAAUUUCGUGUAAAAUGACAUAUAAUAUUAAUUCUAAAAAAGAGUAAAAAUAUUUUUAUGUGAUAAUUUUAUUGAUAUAGUUGGAUAAUUUAUGUGUUGAAUUAAACGCAAAAAUAAUUUAUUUUCAUAAAUUCUAAGAUAAAAUACGAAAUAAAAUAUUUCUACAAGUCAGAAAUUCUAUUAUGAGAAUAGAUUUUUCAAAAACAUAUAUUUUAAGUAAAAUAUUUAAAUUUUGUGAAGAUUCUUACAUGUAAAAUUAUAAAAAACAACUGUUAUUAUCUAAAAACUAAAACUAUAAAAUAAAACAUUAUUUUUCAAAAGCAUAAGCUAUCCGUGAACAGUUAUAUUUUUAUAUUUCACAAUUUUUUGCAUGUCUAGAAUUGAGACAUUUCGAUGGGCUCAUGGCUUAAGCAAUCGGAGAACCCGUUAUUCUUCAAGGCUGUGGUUGGUUCGGGUAUAAGUAAGAACUGCUAGUUCCAGGGAUAGGUACAAGUUCAGGUAUAAGCAGGAACUAGACCAAUUUUGCGUUUGGAUGAAAAUGGGCUUGUUUCUAGGAAUAAGGUAAUAGUGUUUGGAUGGUUAGAUUGGAACAAGAGGAAUAAGAGUUAUAAUUUGAAAUUAAAAUUAUAUUAUGUAAUUAAUUAACAUCAAAAUAUUAUUUAAAAAUAAAUAAUAAAUUAAUUAUUAAUAAUUAAUUAUAAAUAAUAAUUAUUAUUAGUAAUUAAUUAUAAAUAAUAAUGUCACGCCCCGGAUUACACGUUCCACGGACACACCGACAAAUCCGCCGUAUACAAAGGAAUUUCCCCUGUAUACGAAGCGACAGCUGUACCUGUAAAACAUACAAUACUACAAACAGUAGUAUAGAGCUGCUAGAAGAACUAGUAAAGUAAAAGAAACCGAGUUCCAUAUACAUACACUGAAUCCCAGAGUACAAAGCUACUCGCGCUGGCGAGUUAAAAGUCUGUAUGUACAUGAACCCAAACCAAAACAUCUACCUGCAGUAGGGGUGCAUCUAGCUCUGCUCCUCGGGUAGGGCUCUAACUCGUGACGCCCUUGCCUAGCUCCUGACCAGCAACAGCAGCAGCCAAAGACGAAGGCUCUGCAAAAACGGGAUAACAACUGGACGUGAGAACUACUGUAGAAAUAAGUAGUCCUCAGUAGGUGCCGCCCUCAACAAUCAUCGGUCCACCCAUUAAGUCUACAGAAGGUAACAAGGCUAGCAGGAAAAGCUGGAAAGAAAUCUACAGCUACAUAUCGCUACACUAGCAUGAUCUACACUAACCAACUGUAGUAAAAGUCACAACUGACUCAAUCUCACUAGGGACUGUGAACACACCCGUCCCGCCUGUCGGAUCGAACCCGUAUCCUACUCCAGGAAUAGCUGGUGGAGAAAACUCUCUAGGGACUGUGAAUACACCCGUCCCGCCUAAUUAGGUGACACCGUAGCUCAAGAGUAACUGGCGGAGAAAACUCUCUGGAGACUGUGAAUACACCCGUCCCGUCUACUAGAAUACGUCGUAUUUCAAGAGUAAUCGGCGGAGAAAACUCUCUAAAGACUGUGAAUACACCUGUCUCACCUAAUUAGACUACACCAUACCUCGAGAGUAGUCGGUCCCAGAAAAAGGUCCAACAGGAUGGUUAAGACUCCACUCACGUCACAACCUCACUAAAGGUAGGGAAAAACGUCACUCACUAUCUCACCCGGGCUGCCCAAAACGGACCCACCCUACCUGUAUCUAGCUGCGCCGUACACCACCCCGAGGGUAGCCGGCUCAAGAACUGUCCAACAGAAACUGCGACACUUAUCGCACUGAAACCUCAUUCCCGAAUAGCAUUCACGAGCGCGACCCAACGAGUUUACAAGUAUCUCUGUCAAGUUCAUACCGCUCUCACAGGCUAAGUCAAGUAACCGACCUUAACUGGUCUAACAACGAACAGGUAAAGUGCCCUCGACACAAUCUAACGCUAAAAAGGCGAUACGAGUCCACCGUCAACUCCGACGGCACCCAACAGUCCGGAACAGCCUGAACUCUACUAUAAAAAUACACUCGGCAUCCCAGCACGAGCGUAACUAAAAAUUAAACUACCUGAAAUAUUCACUAUGAGGAUACUGCAACAGUAUAAAAUAAUACAACGGCCCCUAGGCUAAAUCAGGUAGUUUAACAUAUGCCAGGUCCCGAAAGCCGGUUUUCUCCUGUGUCAAAUCCAGGUCCAACAUGUAUAAUUUAUUUAUAAAAAUAGGCUCCAAUUUCAGUUUAGAUGAAAACAACAUUUACAAAUAUGAAACUGAGCUAAAACAAUAGUAAUGUGUAAUACUAACAAUACAUGUUGACCAACAAGACUAUACGAGUAGGAAUCCGAUGAUAAACCCACCUCGAAAGGUAAAUCCAAUCCGGCGCGACGUCGAGAACGGCGGAAACGCACCCUCGUCCAGCCUCCUCGUGAUGCUACGACUGCAACCGUAUCCUCGAACGGCUUUGCGGCGCGACGUCAAUGUCGAAUCCGAGCUCCUCGGCUACCUCUACCCGUGCUCUCCACCAUGCACGUAAUUAACUAGAGAGAACAAAAAAAAAUGCACACUCUCUGUUAAUUUGAAGAGAUAAACAUGAAAAGGGUGGUGGCAUCCUUAUCCAAAAAAAUGACCACUAUGCCCCUAGACCAACUCAAAAUGAAGGGUAUUACAUCCUCCCCCACUAUAAAAAGUUUCGUCCUCGAAACUUAAAACAUAUCUCAAACCUGAGUCUCGAACAAGUAGGGAUAGGACUCCCGCAUCACCAUCUUCGGCUCCCAGGUUGCCUUCCGUUCCUCAUGAUUGCUCCACUACACUUUCACAUACGGGAUGUCCCGGUUGCGCAAUUCUUUCGUCUCCCGAGCAAGAAUCCGCAACGGUCGCUCCUCGUAUCUCAGAUCCUCGCCAAUCUCUAGUGGAGUGAAAUCGAUCACGUGAGAAGGAUCGAAAAUAUAUCUCCUCAAUGCUGAGACGUUGAAGACAUCGUGAAUGCCAGCUAGUCACGGGGGUAGAGCGAUCCUGUAAGCAACUGGUCCAACUCGCUCCAAUACCUCAAAAGGGCCAACAAAGCGUGGACUGAGCUUUCCACGCACUCCAAAUCGGCAAAUCCCUCUGGACGGCGAGACUUUAAGAAAUACAUGAUCUCCAACCUGGAACUCUAAGUCUCGUCUCCUGGUAUCGGCGUAGCUCCUCUGGCGGCACUGGGCUGUCAAAAGGUGUCGUCGAACAACUCUCACCUUUUCCUCAGCCUCUAGCAAAAUCUCAGGCCCAAGUGUCUUCCUCUUACCCACAUCACUCUAAAACAACGGGGAUCGACAUCUGCGUCCAUACAACGCCUCAAACGGAGCUAUCUGGAUGCUCGUUUGAUAGCUGUUGUUGUACGCAAACUCAACCAGUCUCAAAUGUCGAUACCACCCUCCUCCAAAAUCCAGGACACAUGCCCUCAGCAUGUUCUCUAGAGUCUGAAUGGCCCUCUCUGACUGACCAUCUGUCUGUGGGUGGAACGCUGUGCUAAAAUGCAACUGAGUGCCCAAGGCUGUCUGUAGACUCCUCCAAAACUGAGAUACAAACCUCGGGUCUCUGUCUGAUACAAUCGACACUGGCACGCCGUGCAGCCUGACGAUCUCAUCCAGGUAUAGAUGCGCGAGUCUCUCUCUGGACCAGAUGGUCUGAACCGAUAAGAAGUGAGCAGACUUGGUCAGUCUGUCCACUAUCACCCAAAUCGCAUCAAAGCCACCCUGCGCUCUAGGCAAUCUCACGACAAAGUCCACCGUAAUCUUCUCCCACUUUCACUCGACACUGGCAGACUCUGAAGCUUGCCAGCAGGUACCUGAUGCUCGGCCUUCACCUAUUGGCAAGUCAAAUACUGAGCCACAUACCGGCCAAUGCCUCUCUUCAUUCCAUUCCACCAAAACUGUGCCUUCAAGUCCUUAUACAUCUUGGUUUCACUUGGGUGAACCGUAUAAGGAGAACAAUGAGUCUCUCUCAAGAUGUCCUCUUGGAUCCCUAAAUCCACCGGCACACACAGUCGGUCCCUAUACCGCAGUACUCCCGAACUGUCAACAGAAAAACCCUCAGCCUGUCCCCUAUGUAGCUGCUCUCGAAUCCUCGUCAAGUACGGAUCUCCACUCUGUUUCUCUCGGAUCCUAUCCAACAGAGUGGGCUGCAAGACCAGAGACAUUAGUCUCGCAGUAGACCCAGGGGAUAUUAUCUCAAGCCUCAGCCGCUGGAGCUCCUCAAGUAACGGUCUCUGCUCAGUGAUCAUCACACUCAGGCUCUGCACUGACUUCCUGCUCAACGCAUCUGCCACUACAUUCGCCUUACCGGGAUGAUACUGAAUACUAAUGUCAUAGUCCUUCAGUAACUCCAACCACCGGUGCUGCCUCAGGUUCAGCUCCCUCUGUGUGAACAGAUACUUGAGACUUUUAUGAUCCGUAAAAAUCUCGCAGUGCUCGCCGUACAAGUAAUGUCGCCACAACUUCAAAGCAAAGACUACCGCGGCAAGCUCCAAGUCAUGCGUAGGGUAAUUCUUCUCAUAAUCCUUUAACUGCCGUGAUGCAUAAACAAUUACCCUACCAUGCUGCAUCAACACACAACCCAGUCCACUGUGCGAUGCAUCAUUGUAGAUCACAAAUCCUUCCCCCAUCACAGGAAGGGCAAGGAUAGGAGCUGACGUCAACCUUUGUCGCAACUCAUCAAAGCUCCUCUGACAAUCCUCACUCUAGAUGAAUCUAAUCCCCUUUCGCGUCAAUCGAGUGAGGGGUGUGGAAAGCUUCGCAAAGCCUUCCACAAACCGACGGUAAUAUUCUGCUAAUCCAAGGAAACUCCUCACCUCUGUCACCGUCACCGAUCUGGGCCAACCCCGAAUAACAUCAAUCUUCUUCGGGUCCACUGCUACUCCCUCUGCUGAUAUCACAUGGCCCAAGAAAGCAACCUCUCGUAACCAGAACUCGAACUUCUUCAACUUGGCAUACAACUUCUUCUCUCGCAGAAGUUGUAGCACAAUUCUCAAGUGCUCCUCAUGCUCAGCAUCACUCCGGGAGUAAAUCAGGAUAUCGUCGGUAAAGACUACCACAAAUCUAUCCAAGAACGACUUAAACACUCUGUUCAUCAAAUCCAUGAAUGCUGCAGGGGCAUUCGUCAAUCCAAAAGGCAUCACCGUUAACUCAUAAUGCCCGUACCGAGUCCGAAAAGCCGUCUUGGGAACAUCCUCGGCCCUUACCCUCAAUUGGUGGUAACCUGACUGGAGAUCAAUCUUCGAAAAGACAUAAGAUCCCUGCAGCUGAUUAAACAGAUCAUCAAUGCGCGGCAAGGGAUACUUAUUCUUGAUGGUCACUUUAUUCAGCUCCCGGUAGUCCACACACAGCCUAAGUAAACCAUCAUUCUUCUUCACAAACAACACCGGCGCUCCCCAAGGCGAAACAUUGGGUCUCACAAACCCUCUAUCCAUCAAAUCCUGAAGCUGUGCCUUUAGCUCUCUCAGCUCUGCUGGCGCAAUCCGAUAAGGUACCUUUGAGAUUGGUGCAGUUCCAGGAACUACAUCAAUCACAAACUCAAUCUCCCUCUCCGGCGGCAACGUCGUCAACUCAGGAGGAAACACAUCUAGAAACUCAUGGACUAUAGGGAUAUCCUCGAGUCCCGGCGCCGCCGUAGGUACCUCCACAACUGCCGCUAAGAAAGCGAUACACCCACUACUCAGCAUCUGUCGAGCUCUCGCCGAAGAUAUCCAGGUGGCAAACAACGUACUACUACAGCCUCUGAAAGUGAACUCCUUCUGGCUUGGCUCGCGGAAUGUCACCGUCCUCGCUCCACAAUCGAUCGUAGCAUAGUACCGCGUCAACCAAUCCAUACCGAGCACGAUGUCAAAGCCCUGCAGCUGCCCUAACACCAACAGGUCUGCGGCAUAAACCACGAAUCUAACUGCACCGGACACGACCAACAACACUCCGCAGUCUGUAACACAUGGUCGGGGAUCUGCACCUCUCGUGUCAAAGACAACGACCCUAACUCUAGACCAUAUAACAGUGCAAAUACUUGGCUAACAAAAGAAUGCGAGGCACCGGUAUCAACUAAAGUACGACUACAUAUGCCAAAAAUCAAAAUGAUACCUGCCACCAUACGGUCGGCUGCUGAAGAGUCCUCCCGAUGGUAACUCGGUAGUACUCCAAAAGUCUGCUGGUCAGCUGGCUGCGCUGAUGCAAUGGAUAGUGCUGGAAAUGUCGCUCUAGGACACGCUGACCUCACAUGUCCUGGCUGUCCACAAGUGUAGCAGCGACCCUCUUUCUGCUCACAUUGUCGGGGCCAGUGUGGUCCUCCAUAAAUCACGCACCGCAGCGUCCUCGGUGACGGUCCCUGCUGAAGCAAUCCCCUGGAAAGCUGACGCCCCGAUGAACCACGACCCUAAGAGCAAGAUCGAGAAAGCCUCAGCGGACGUCUGCUACUCGCCUGUCCUCCAUCAUCUGGAAAAGGGCGCUUCCUGUCUUGGCUCUGCCCCGGUGCCAUAGUCCGCUCCUAGAUGGGUGUAACUCCGUGUCCCACCAAGAGUACCUGCUGCACAGAUGCUCCUGUCUCAACUCCUGACCACUGAGUGAUAAUCUCAUAAAUUCUCUGCAAUAGUACACUCUGCUGCUUGAUCACUGUCAGGGCAGCCAACUGCUCUCUCAAAUCAGGGGGUACACUUGCCUCCGGUCGUGCACUCGGCUCUGCCUGGUCGGGCAUCUCUAGCGGUGCGACUUGAUCCCUGGUCGACGGUCAACCUCGGCAGCAAUCAGAACGAAACAAAACGGGGUCAAAUACAACUCAAACACUCUCGACCCAAUCAAUGAAAGUCUAGAAAGCAACCCCUGUUUUCCUCUAAAAUUAUGUCGUCUGCAGUCAACAUAAUUUCUCAGGCCAAAACAGGUACUCCUUCAAUCACUCACCCCACUCUCGGAGGAGUUAGAACAACUAAUCAUUGACUUUCGCAAUUAGAUUACGCCUCUCACUUCUUGCUUUCCUAAGGUUUGCCAAACUUAGGUUCUCUAGGUCCCAACGACCGAAUGCUAAACUCUGAUACCAACUUAAUCUGUCACGCCCCGGAUUACAGUUCCCCGGACACGCCGACAAAUCCGCCGUAUACAAAGGAAUUUUCCCUGUAUACGAAGCGACAGUUGUACCUGUAAAACAUACAAUACUACAAACAGUAAUAUAGAGCUGCUAGAAGAACUAGUAAAGUAAAAGAAACCGAGUUCCAUAUACAUACACUGAAUCCCAGAGUACAAAGCUACUCGCGCUGGCGAGUUAAAAGUCUGUAUGUACAUGAACCCAAACCAAAACAUCUACCUGCAGUAGGGGUGCAUCUAGCUCUGCUCCUCGGGUAGGGCUCUAACUCGUGAUGCCCUUGCCUAGCUCCUGACCAGCAACAGCAGCAGCCGAAGACGAAGGCUCUGCAAAAACGGGAUAACAACUGGACGUGAGAACUACUGUAGAAACAAGUAGUCCUCAGUGGGUGCCGCCCUCAACAAUCAUCGGUCCAGCCACUAAGUCUACAGAAGGUAACAAGGCUAACAGGAAAAGCUGGAAAGAAAUCUACAGCUACAUAUCGCUACACUAGCAUGAUCUACACUAAACAACUGUAGUAAAAGUCAAAACUGACUCAAUUUCACUAGGAACUGUGAACACACCCGUCCCGCCUGCCGGAUCGAACCCGUAUCCUACUCCAGGAAUAGCUGGUGGAGAAAACUCUCUAGGGACUGUGAAUACACCCGUCCCGCCUAAUUAGGUGACACCGUAGCUCAAGAAUAACCGGCGGAGAAAACUCUCUGGAGACUGUGAAUACACCCGUCUCGUCUACUAGAAUACGCCGUAUCUCAAGAGUAAUCGGCGGAGAAAACUCUCUAAAGACUGUGAAUACACCCGUCUCACCUAAUUAGACUACACCAUACCUCGAGAGUAGUCGGUCCCAGAAAAAGGUCCAACAUGAUGGUUAAGACUCCACUCACGUCACAACCUCACUAAAGGUAGAGAAAAACGUCACUCACUAUCUCACCCGGGCUACCCAAAACGGACCCACCCUGCCUGUAUCUAGCUGCGCCGUACACCACCCCGAGGGUAACCGGCUCAAGAACUGUCGAACAGAAACUGCGACACUCAUCGCACUGAAACCUCAUUCCGGAAUGGCAUUCGCGGGCGCGACCCAACGAGUUUAUAAGUAUCUCUGUCAAGUUCAUACCGCUCUCACAGGCUAAGUCAAGUAACCGACUCUAACUGGUCUAACAACCAACAGGUAAAGUGCCCUCGGCACAAUCUAACGCCAAAAAGGCGAUACGAGUCUACCGUCAACUCCGACGGCACCCAACAGUCCGAAAUAGCCUGAACGCUACUAUAAAAAUACACUCGGCAUCCCAGCACGAGCGUAACUAAAAAUUAAACUACCUGGAAUACUCACUAUGAGGAUACUGCAACAGUAUAAAAUAAUACAACGGUCCCUAGGCUAAAUCAGGUAGUUUAACAUAUGCCAGGUCCCGAACACGGGUUUUCUCCUAUGUCAAAUUCAGAUCCAAUAUGUAUAAUUUAUUUAUAAAAAUAGGCUCCAAUUUCAGUUUAGAUGAAAACAACAUUUACAAAUAUGAAACUGAGCUAAAACAAUAGUAAUGUGUAAUACUAACUAUACAUGUCGACAAACAAGACUAUAUGAGUAGGAAUCCGAUGAUAAACUCACCUCGAAAGCUAAAUCCAAUCUGGCGCGACGUCGAGAAUGGCGGAAACGCACCCUCGUCCAGCCUCCUCAUGAUGCUACGACUGCAACCGUAUCCUCGAACGGCUUUGCGGCGCGACGUCGAUGUCGAAUCCGAGCUCCUCGGCUACCUCUAUCCGUGCUCUCCACCAUGCACGUAAUUAACUAGAGAGAACAAAAAAAAAUGCACACUCUUUGUUAAUUUGAAGAGAUAAAUAUGAAAAGGGUGGUGGCAUCCUUAUCCAAUAAAAUGACCACUAUGCCCCUAGACCAACUCAAAAUGAAGGGUAUUACAAAUAAAUUAAUAAUAUCGAUUAUCUAAUUAAUAAUAAUAAUUAUUAUUAUUAUUAAUUAUUAAUAAAUAAUAAUAAUUAUUAAUAAUUAAUUAUAACUAAUAAAUUAAUAAUAAUAAUUAUCUAAUUAUUAACAAUUAAUUAUAACUAAUAAAUUAAUAAUAAUAAUUAUCUAAUUAUUAAUAAUUAAUUAUAAAUAAUAAAUUAAUAAUAAUAAUUAUUAUUAUUAUUAAUUAUUAAUAAAUAAUAAUAAAUAAUAAUUAUUUAUUAAUAAUUAAUUAUAAAUAAUAAAUUAAUAAUAAUAAUUAUCUAAUUAUUAACAAUUAAUUAUAACUAAUAAAUUAAUAAUAAUAAUUAUCUAAUUAUUAAUAAUUAAUUAUAACUAAUAAAUUAAUAAUAAUAAUUAUCUAAUUAUUAAUAAUUAAUUAUAAAUAAUAAAUUAUUUAAUUAUUUAAUUAUUAAAGGAAUAAAUAAUGAUUUAAAUAUAUUAAUUAGAUUAAUUAAUAAUUUACCGCCAUUAAAAUUAAAUUUAGAUUUUAAUUAACCUUGUUCUCAUCAAGGAACAAGCUAGUUCCAGAAAACGGGUGGAACAGCAGUUUCAGCCUUAUACUAUCUUGUUCCAGAAAUUCGAAAAUUACUGUUCCCGAGAACCAAACAUACUGUUUGGGAACAAAGGGGGGAACAAGGACUUAUUCCCCUUUUGUUCCCGAACCAAACGCUACACAAAAGUUUAAAUUAUUAGAGAAUGAUAUUUUUAUAUUUAACAUUCAUCAUCUCGCCCAAAUUUGAGACUUUUUAAUCUAUUUUAUAAACUUGAAUUAAAUAUAAAAAAAUUAAUUAUACGAGAAGAGAAUAGUAUUUUUGGAUUUAACACUCCUCCCACGUCUAAACUUGGGACUUUUUAGUCUAUGCAGUACCAAGCGGAACUUUCUAAUAGGCUCGUAAAAAAAAAAGUCAAUUAUGUUAGGGGCCGGCCGGACUUGAAUUAAGACCCCCCUAGCUACUUCCAUACAUAUAAAAUCAAAAAAAUCGUUAUUCUUCUAAAACAUAAACGAUUAAAUAACGAUGUUUUUAUAUUUAUUCCUCCUAUUAAUUUAACUAAGGUUUUAUUCAGUUAUUCAAGGUUAGUUAUAUAUAUUGUCAAUUCUUUUUCUUUUCUCUCUUUUUUUUUUUGUGAGAGAUAGGUAGCACGCUACCCGCUUUGUUUAUUUUAUUUAGUAAUAAACUUAGUUGGGGAUAUGAAUCAGCUAGGAUUCAAACUUGGGUCUCGGAUGUCAACUACCAAGCCCUUUACCACUUACUUUAUGGACGGUCGGUUAUAUUGUCGAUUCUUAAAGUUUGGAUCCUAUGCUUAUUGUAGUAAUGAAGUCCCAUUGUUAUUUUUUGGGACAAUUGUUUAUAUGCCCAGAAAAGUUUCUGACUUUUUUAUAUACCCCUUAUAGAAAACUAAUAUUAAAAGUACUCUUUUAAGGCUCCAAAGUCUUUCAAAUAUAUCAUUAGAAUUAAAUUUCGUUAAUAAACUAUUAGAAACAGUUGUUAUUUAUGUAAAAUUACUACUUUGCCCUUUCAAAUAUAUCCCUCUACCGUCACAAACAUUUUUCUCUUGAGUUAGGGGCAAAAUAAGUAUUUUGAUUUUUUACCUUUUCAAAUAUACUCUUUUACUUUCUUUAAAAAAAAAAUUACUGUUUUACUAUCACCAAUUUUUCUUAUUUGCUUUUAAAUUAUGAAUAAAAUAAGUAUUUUUAUAAUUUUUUUUAACUAUGAUAGAAAUUUAACUCAAGUUUAAUCCGAGAUGAUUUAACAGGCACUAACAACAGAAAUAUUUUUGAAUAACAAAAAAAUAUAUGAGGAGUAUAUUUGAAACAAAAAAUAGUAAAGAUAAAUAAAAUAUUUUAGAAAUUUUGAGAGAUAUAUAACAAUUAUUAUUAUUCACUAUUUUGAUUGAAAAUCCAUUUGAGCAAAGAUAAAAAAGUAUGAACAACUCCACUACCAGCCAUUCAAAAUUGGCCUCCUUUACCCCCUUUUUUUUUAAAAAAAAAUUUACAUUGUCUCUACUUUGAAAUGUUUUUUUUAUUGAUUAAUUUUUAUCAAUUAAAUUAAGAGUUUUAUCAAAUUCAUGAGCGCGAGUGUAGGUUCAAGGAAUAAAACUCAAAAUAUAUUUCAAGCUAAGUUUGAGAAUUACUAGACUCUCUGGAAUUAUANAUAUAUAUAUAUAUAGAGUUGGACCGGGCUACUAUUAGUAGCAAAAUGCAAAAUCUCAUUGUUGCUAUCAGUUUUUUAGCCUUUGGAUCAACUCUUUUCAUUAUUUCUAACCAUUGGAUUAAAUAUUAUAACCCAGUGGGAACCACUCAACCCUAGGGGGGCCACUCAACUCUAACCGACUAAUAUCAUCCUGACCCUACAAUUUUUCAUCUAAGGGUUAAAAACUUGAUACCAAAAAAAGCGUUUUACUAUUAAUAGUAUUCCAGCCUAAUUAUAUAUAUAUAUAUAUAUAUAUAUAUAUAGAGAGAGAGAGAGAGAGAGAGAGAGAGAGAGAGAGAGAGAGAGAGAGAGAGUCCGGCUACUAUAUUCAUAUGAGUACGAUCACCCUCGUACUCAUAAGUUGUUUUCGAUGAUAGAACUUCCAAAUUGACGAUCCAUACCGUUAAACAUUAUCUAGAGCAUUUAAUACUUCUAGAAAUUAAAUUUUAUAAUUUUUCGAUAUCAUUUACCUUACGAUCAAAUGGUCACAAAAAUGAUAAUUUUCAACGGCCGGUAUGAGAUAUUUGCUAGUUUAAUGGUGAAAAAGAAUCGAAAUAGGUUGAAUUUUUGAUAGAAAACUCUAUUCACUACCUAAAUAAAGAUCAAUAACUCCGAUCUUAAAUUGAAGGAUCCGAUCAUCCAUUUUUAAGAUGUUAUUCGAUUUUAACCGUUCAUUUUAUACUCGCUUGAUGGACUUUAUAAUGAUUUCGAAAAUUUAUGAAAUUUAUUUUCUAGAAGUUUCAAAUACUCUAGAUCAUAUUUAACGGUGUGGAUCGUCGAUUCGAAAACUCCAACAUCAAAAACAACUUAUGAGUAGUGAGGGUUCUAUACUCAUAAGAGUAUAGUAGCCCUACUAUAUAUAUAUAUAUAGUUGAGCUAGAAUACUAUCGGUAGUAAACGAGUCGUUUUACUACCGAUUUGUUUUCGAUGAUAGAACUUCCAAAUUGACGAUCGGGUCCGUUGAACAUAAUCUAUACCACUUGAAGUGUUUAGAAAUCAAAUUUCAAAUCUUUUCGACAUCAUUUGCCUAAUGAUCAAAGGGUUUCAAAAUUUGUAAUUUUAAUGGUCGAUGAGAGGCGUUUUUUCGUUUAAUGGCGUAAAGAUAUCCAAAUCAAUUGAAUUUUUGUUAGAAAAUUUUUUAAACUAUUUAAAACAAGAUCUAUACUCUUGAUCUUGAUUACAAGACUCCUAUCAUCAUUUUUUGAAGAGUAUUCAUUUUCAGUCAUUUAUUUUUUUGUUCACUUGAUGGAUAAAAAAACAAUAUCGAAAGUACGUGAAAUUUAAUUUCUAGGUAGUUUAAAUGAUUUAGAUCAUAUUUAACGGAGUCGGUCGUCAAUUUGGAAGCUCUAUCAUCAAAAACAAAUCGGUAGUAAAAUGACUCGUUUACUACCGAUAGUAUUCUAGCUCAACUCAUAUAUUUAUAUAUAUAUAGAACUAGGCCAACAUACUAUUAAUAGCACCAAGUCAUUGGUGCUACUAAGUUUUUGGCCAUUAGAUUAAGAGAUGUGCGGUUAGGAUGAUGUGGGCCCCCAAGGGUUGAGUGGGUGGUUGGUUGAAUAGUAUGAUCUAACAGGUGAAAAUGAUCAAAAUGGUAGAUUUAAAUAUAUGAGAAUGGCUACUGUACUAUUAGGAGUACAGCAGUACUCAUUGUGCUCCUAACUUUCUAAUCACCCAUCAAGUUUCAUGGGUGAUUACAAUGAGAGAUAGAAGAGAUAUUGGAAAGAAAUAUAUAGUAGAUCAUGUGUGCUAUAUAUUAGCACUCUAUUUGGCUCGGGUAUAAAGGGGGGGAUAAGGGGGAUAUCCCCCCUUUAUACCCCAAACAAAAAAAAAAAUGGUGGGAACAAGUGUUCCCACCAUAAUGGGUUGUACCAAGUACAACCCGUUAUGGGUGGGAACAAGUGUUCCCAUGCACCCGGGGUUGGAACAAGCUUGGGCAAGAUUGUUCCAACCCACUUGAGAGAGAGAGAGAGAGAGAGAGAGAGAGAGAGAAGUGUUCCCAUGCACCCGGGUUUGGAACAAGCUUGGGCAAGAUUGUUCCAACCCACUUGAGAAAGAGAGAGAGAGAGAGAGAGAGAGAGAGAGAGAGAGAGAUAUUUAUUUUAAAUUUAAAUAUAAAUUUUUAAAAUUUAUAAUUUUAUAAUUAUAUUUAAUAAAUUAAAAUUUUAAAUUUUAUUAAAUUUUAAAUUUUAAAUUUGAUAUUUUAAAAUUUUAAAUUUUAAAUUUGAUAUUUUUAGUUUUUAAUUUUUAAAUUUGUUAUUUUAUAUCUUUGAAAUUUAAAUUUGGUCUGAAAUUUAAAAUUUGAUAUUUAAAAUUAAAAUUUUUAAUACUAAAAUUUAAAAUUUUAAUUUCUAAUCUAAAUUUAAAAGUUAAAAUUUAAAAUUUAAAAUUAUAAGUUUAAAAUUCAAUUAUAGAAAUAAUNAUUUAAAAUUUUAAUUUCUAAUCUAAAUUUAAAAGUUAAAAUUUAAAAUUUAAAAUUAUAAGAUUUAAAUUCAAUUAUAGAAAUAAUAUUAUUAUUUUCUAUUUAUAAUUACCAACUAUUUCUCUUAUUUCCAAAAACCAUCCAAACACAAUUUUUUUAGUUCCAGCUUAUACUGACAAUUUCAUCCAAACAAAAAAAUACCCUUACUCCUACAAAAAUCCAUACUUGUAUCUAUCCCCGGUAUAACUAGUUCCUACUAAUUUCCGAUCCAAACGGAGCCUUACGAGAAUGGGGGCCUCUGUGCUCCUGAGCCAUUUUUUAUGAUGGAAUUUUCGAAUCGACGAUCGGCUCCGUUAGACUGAUCUAACGUAUUUGAAAUAUCUACAAAAUAAAUUUUACAAUUUUUCGAAUAUCAUUUAUCUAGCGAUAAAAAGAAUUCAAAAUCAAUAAUUUUUAAUGAUUGACAUAUAUCAUUUGCAAAAUAAAAAUCAAUUUCAGUUUCGAAAAAUAAAAAUCAAUUUCUAGUGGUUUUAAAUAUUACUGCUGAGGGCAAAAGUGGUAUGGCUAAUUUUACUAUAUUUGAAAGAUUGGCAUAAGAUUUGAUAUAUAUUUCUAUACAAAAUUUGGCUACCAUAACUGGCUCAGAUAAAUUCUCACCCUCCUAUGAUAAAAUCAAUUAUUGGACAAAAAUAUAUUUUUUAAGCCAUAUCUGACACGCAGAGACUUAGAACAAAUGUCCUUUCUUCUACAGUUUUAAACAUUUUUAUUUCAAACUCUCCUACAACGAGAAAAAAAAAAAAGAAAAACAAUUUUUUUAUCCAUUAAAUGUGAAGAGUAGCUCAAUCCAUCGGGUAGUGGAAAGUAGUCCAGGUACUAGUUACCUCCUAUAUUUGUAUGUGAUAUUUACGUGUCAUCCGUAAAGUUUUGCCUUUUUUUGCUUUAAAAUUGUUUAAAAAAUUUAAAAAAUUUAAAUUUUAUUGGCAGUUUCCGUGAAAUUGAGGGAUCAAAAAAGAACAAGAGGUGAAGAAUAAUAUUUGAUACGUGUAAUAGAUAUUUUGGGUAUAUAUAUAUAGAGUGAGGCUACUAUGCUAUCGGAAGCACGGAGCCUUUCGUGCUUCCAGUUUGUUUUUGAUGUUGCGACUUUCGAAUCGUCGAUCGGCUCCGUUAAACUUGAUCUAGAGUAUUUGGAGUACCUAGAAAAUAAAUUUUAUUAUUUUUCGAUAUCAUUUGCCUAGUGAUCGAAUAGGCUCAAGAUCAACAAAUUUCAAAGGCCGUAGUGAGCGGUUUGCAAGUUUAACGGUGUAGAAAUAUCCAAAUCACGUGAAAUUUUGAUAGAAAAUUUUUUAUACUAUAUAAAACAAGAUCAAUAUCUUUGAUUUAAAAUUUUAAUGUCAUAUUAUUACAUUUUGUAAGAUUUUUAUUUUCAGCCGUUGAUUUUGAGCUCCUUCGUUCACUAGGUAAAUGAUAUCGUAAAAUCAUAAAAUUUAUUUUCUAGGUACUUCAAAUACUCUAGAUCAAGUUUAACGGAGCCGAUCGACGAUUCGAAAGUCGCAACAUCGAAAACGAGCUGAAAGUACGAAAGGCUCAGUGCUUCAGAUAGUAUAGUAACCUCACUCUAUAUA